RNAcentral lists this long non-coding RNA (86914 nucleotides) under Prunus persica (peach). Lineage: Eukaryota; Viridiplantae; Streptophyta; Magnoliopsida; Rosales; Rosaceae. The record is from RNAcentral.
UCUCUCUCUCUCUCUCUCUCUCUCUCUCUCUCUCUCUCUCUCUCUCUCUCUCUCUCUCCCAAACAUUUAUCUCAACAAACGUAAUGGUCUAUAAUUUGGUUCUACAAUAUUAUCUUGAAUGUAAUAAAUAAUGUGGUGUGUAUAACAUUUACUAGAUAGGUUGGCAAUAAAAACACUUUGUUCGUUACUCUUUCUAUCAAUUAUACUGUUUUGCCUUGUUACUUAAUUUCAAAUUAACUUCGCAUAUAAUAAAUAUGUAUACCAAAUAAGUAGACGUUCAUAAUGUAUAUUGCACUAUAAAAACUCAAUCUCCUACAACAUUCACUCAUCUCAAGGUAUUCUUUUUCUCUUGAGAAACAUUAUCAUCUAUCUUGGAAUUUCGAGCAUAGUGAUCAAGCAUGGCGCAACAGUUUACGGGGUACCAAAUGAUGUUGGUGAUAUUACUAUUCUUAUUUGGGGCCUGCAUUACACAAUCAAUGAGUGAUGAACAAGAUGAUGAGAACAGGAAAGAUCCGUGGGAAGGAUAUCAACUUCCUCCCCAACCAUGGAAGGGAUACGAUGUAUAUUUGCGAAGCUGCGUUCGUGUGCUAACCAAGAAAUGUGGGCUGGAAAUGUAUGAUUUCAUCUUCAGACGACGUCGAGGGAUGAGUAUGAGUUGUUGCUUGAAACUUGUUAAAAUCGGUGAAAUGUGCAGUACACAACUGUCGUACACACUCUCACAUAUUAAAGCGUUUGCACGAAAUAGAGGCAAUAUAUAUCUUCGAAGUGAGCAUGCCUAUAGAAAAUGUGCUAAGAGAGUAAUGGAAGGUGUGCCGAAGUCAUCGCCCAUGUUAUAGAUCUUUUACACAAAACCCAUAAAUGUUGACAUUCUAUGUGUUUCCAUGUCGGAUAUGAAUAAAUAAACUUUCUACAAAAAUACGAGUAAUUGUAAUUUUUUGUCUUUUCAAUGAAAAUGUAGUUAAAUAAUUUCUUAAUUUGUUUCUUCUUUUUUCUUUUUUGUGAUAUGGUUGAACAUAAAUAUGAUUUGAAAAAUCAACUACAUCAUUUACCCUCACAUCCAUGGAAGGGAUAGUAUUUUACCUAUAAACUUACUUGUUGAAUUUAAAUAAAUCGGUGAACUGUAGAGUUGUUAAUUAAAUGAUUAUUGAUACAUGUUGUUACAUUUUGAUGUUUGAUGAAUUUACUCAUCAUAUAUAUAUACACGAUAGGUGGCAAAGAACCCAUUAGUGUAGUGGUUUGGAGUGUGUGUGAGUUUAGUAUGCUAUCGUCUCUCUCCAUAAAAAAAGGUCAUAUAAAAGUAUGUAGGGAAAGACUAGAAUAUUGGAUAAAAGUAAGUAGGGAAAGAGAAAACUGUAAACCUUAAAACAUAAAAUAAUUAUUACAUACACAUAUACUAUAAUGUACUUCUAUACACAUAUAUACAUAUAUAUAUAUAUAUAUAUAAACACAUAUAUACAUAUAUAAAAUAUAAAUAAAUACAUAUAGAUAUAUACACGUAUAUUAUUAUUAUAAUAUACCUAUACACACAUAUACAUAUUAAUAUUAUAAUAAUAGCAUACAUGUGUAUAUAUAUAUAUUAUAUUAUAUAUUAUAAUACAUAUAUAUGCGUACAUAUACAUAUAUGUGUACAUAUAUUAUACCCAUGUAUGUAUUAUAAUAUACAUAUACACACGUAUACACAUGUAUAUACACCCGUAUACACAUGUAUAUACACAUAUACAUUAUAUAUUUAUACUAUAUGUAUAUAUAUUAUAAUAUACAUAUAUACACGUAUAUACAUGUAUAUUAUUAUUAUAACAUACUCAUAUAUAUAUACAUAUCUAUUAUAAUAUACAUACGUAUAUAUAUGUAUAUGUAUAUGUAUUAUACCCUUGUAUAUAUUAUAAUAUAUAGAUACACCUAUAUACACAUAUAUAUUAUAUACAUAUAUAUAUAUAUGUGUGUACAGAGAGCUUCCAUUGAGGGAUCCCUCAAAUAAGCUUAUUUGAGGGACACCCCUUGUAGGGCCCACUCCAGAUUGUAUUUCACUAAUCCAAACCGUCUACUUUGUAGAUACUCAUUCAAAGAUCAUCUCUACAAAAAAUCACUUGAAUCCGAUAUCAUUUGAUCAUUCAAUUGAGUUCUUGAAAUUUUAGUACUUUCUUGAAGCACCGUGUUCAUUGAUUUUGUAGGACACAAUUAGAUAUCGAAACGGUUUUCGAUUUGUCUAAUUUUUUGUAAGGAUGAUCUAUGAAUGAAGACCUAAAAAAUAGAUUGUUUGGAUCGUUGAAAAAAAAUUUAUAGGGUACCCUAAAGGGCGUCCCUCAAAUAAAAUUAUUUGAGGGAUCCCUUAAUAGAAGGGGGCUGUAUAUGUGUAUAUAUGUAUAUUAUAAUCUAUAUACAUAUAUUAUACAUAUAUAAAUAAUAUAUAUACAUGUAUUAUACAUGUAUAUACAUGUAUAUAUGUGUGUAUAUAUGUAUAUUAUAAUAUAAUAUAAUAUAUAUAUAAUAUAAACAUAUAUAUAUAUGUGUGUGUGUGUAUAGGUGUAUAUAUGUAUAUUAUAAUAUACCUAGGUAUAAUAUGUAAUAAUAUACAUAUAUACACGUAUAUACAUGUAUAUUAUUAUUAUUAUAACAUACCCAUAUAUAUUAUAUACAGUCCCGAUCUCUUGGACCACAGGAGUCCAAGAGAUUGUGGUCACCCACCGUUGGAUAUUAAUCCAAUGGUUGAAAAAAAAAUUUUAAAAUGAGUGCAAGAGUGAGUGAACCGUUGAAUUUGCAUCCAACGGUGAGUGACCACAAAUUUCUUGGACUCUUGUGGACCAAAUUUCUUGGACUCUUGUGGUCCAAGAGAUCAGGACUGAUAUUAUAUAUUACAAUAUACAUACAUCAGUCUUGAUCUCUUGGACUACGAGGGUCCAAGAGAUUUGUGGUCACUCACCAUUGGAUGUAAAUUCAACGGUUCACUCACUCUUAUACUCAUUUUAAAAAACUUUUUUGAACCAUUGGAUUAAUAUCCAACGGUGGGUGACCACAAUCUCUUGGACUCCUGUGGUCCAAGAGAUCGGGACUGAACAGAUAUAUAUUAACAGUCCUGAUCUCUUGGACUACAGGGGUCCAAGAGAUUUGUGGUCACUCACCGUUGGAUGUAAAUUCAAUGGUUCACUCACUCUUGCACUCCUUUUAAGAAUUUUUUUUUGAACAAUUCGAUUAAUAUCCAACGGUGGGUGGCUACAAACUUUUGGACUCCUGUGGUCCAAGAGAUUGGGAUUGUAUAUAUUAACAUAUGUAUAUAUAUUAUACCCAUGUAUAUUAUAACAUUACAGUCCCGAUCUCUUGGACCACAGGAGUCCAAGAGAUUGGAGCCACCUACCGUUGGAUUUUAAUCGAAUUGUUCCAAAAAAAAUUCUUAAAAGGAGUGCAAGAGUGAGUGAACCAUUGAAUUUACAUCCAACGGUGAGUGACCACAAAUCUCUUGGACUCCUGUAGUCCAAGAGAUCAGGACUGUUUACAUUACUCUGUUACAGCCCAGAUCUCGUGUACACAGGAGUCCAGAGAUCGUCGUACACCCAACCGAUGGCUAUUGAAUCAAUGGCUUCAAAAAAGUUUUUUAANNNNNNNNNNNNNNNNNNNNNNNNNNNNNNNNNNNNNNNNNNNNNNNNNNNNNNNNNNNNNNNNNNNNNNNNNNNNNNNNNNNNNNNNNNNNNNNNNNNNUUUUUUGACCAUUAGAUUAAUAUCUAACGGUGAGUGACCACAAUCUCUUGGACUCCUGUGAUCCAAGAGAUCAGAACUGUAUAAUAUACAUAUAUACACCUAUAUACACACAUAUAUAUUAUAUGUAUGUAUCUAUACAUAUGUAUUAUAUAUAUAUUAUAAAAUACAUAUAUACAUAUAUAUAUAUUUUUUUUUUAAAAGUAAAAAAAUCUAGCCCUAGUCCAAGAGUAUACUAAACGCAGGAUAAGUGUUAUGCAGAUUAGACCAAGCCAAGCCAAGCCAAGACAGUCCUUAAGCAUAGUCCAUGUUAAAACAGUCUUAUAUAACAAACGAGCCCUUAAAAUUUAAUAAAUAAGCGUAUGUGUGUCUCAUGAAUAUUCUCUAUGAGAAUUGCAUAAUGUAACAUACAGUCCUGAUCUCUUGGACCCCUGUAGUCCAAGAGAUUUAUGGUCACCCAUCGUUGGAUGUAAAUUCAACGGUUGACUUGAAUCGGGUAAUAAUCAUUUAUGUCAUAUUGCAUUUAUAUAUAUCAUUUUGAACCAUUGGACUCCUGUGGUCCAAGAAAUCGGGACUGGUGUAACAUAAUUCAUAAAUAACUUGGAACAUCACAUUAUUAUUUUCACAUCCUCUUCAAAGUGGUGAAAUCCUUAUGUUUUCCAAUUCCAUAUUUAGUAGAAUACGCUAUUAAUAUUUCUCUAUUAAAAUGCUAAAAAAAGGUCCAAAGUUGGAAUACCGUUGCCCUAUUUCUUUCUUAUUCACUUUAAUUCUUCAAUUCAUUUUUCCCAAAUUACCUAAAGAGUUCAAUUUUUAGUUUAGAUUUUUUUUUUUCUAUCAUCAUCAAAAUAGGAGAUUUGGGUCUCAAUCAAAUUCCUAAUGGACCCAAUCUUUAGUAUUUGGGUAAAGAAUAAAUUCCUUCCUAAUAAGAGUUUUAUUCUCUACAAAACCCUAGCCUCCGAGAUUCCUAUAAAUAGAUGGCUUUAUUCAUCAUUCAAGGUACUUCAAAAACCCAAGAAAAUAACCGAAACUCUCCAUCUCUCUCCCUAGACACCAGUGAUGCCACCGCCUCCGACCAUACGUGUCUCCUCUCUCCAUAUUUUACAUACACGGCUCCGGCCACCACAUACGGCCCCGGUCGCUCCGUUCACACCAUACAUACAUCUCCAUACUCUUUUUUUAGCUAUUGUUUCUCUUAGAUUCAAUCGAACUAACUAAAGUAUCGGGGGGUCCGGUGUGGUCUAUUUACUCCGGUCUUUUUUACAUGAAUUAAGGAAGACAGAGAAGGAAGAUCAACUUAAGCGAAUAUUCUUCCACAGGGAUUUUUGCACAAACAUUUUGUGCUUAUUGAGAGCACGAGUUAUAUUCAACGCAUGCUCUUGAAUCAAAGAAAUUUAUUUCCUCCAUCUUUUCAUUUAAUCAAAACCUUUCGAACAACCAUGGUUGGAAGCAAGAAAACGAGGGGCAAGACCGCUACAAUUGCCCAAUCCACUACGAGAUCGGACCACCAUGACGCCGUGGCUCUAAGACAAUCCCACUGUUUGGGCUUGAAUUCUGCACACCUAACCCAAAAGCUAUUGGCCCAUGAGUAACAAGUUCAGCUUGGACUUGAUAUUUAAAUUAUUUAGGCUCGAAUUCUGCACACCCAGCCUAGAAUCUGGUGGCCCACGGUAAUAAACAAUUUUGGGCUCUGAAAAUGAAGAAAACAGGAACCAUUCCAAAAUUGAAGAGGCCAGGCUAUUUUUAACGGCUGUCAUUAUUUACCCAGGUGUGAAAAUUCAAUUACCAUUAUGGGUAAUUCAAAUUAACACACCCAGCUCUGAAUUAAGAGAUGCCCAUCCUCAAUUUUGGAAAUUCCCUAAAACCCAAGAAAUUGAUCUCCACCGUCCAUCUCCAGACAAACAGACAAGGAAAGAGAAUUUCUGCUCCACUACCACAAAGCACACGGGAACCCAUUCAUAAAGCUGGAAAGGGUAGAAGAAUUCAAGGAAAAUAGGUAGGAAUGGGGGGAAAGUGAAGCCAAGGGGGAUUAAUCAUCAUGGCAAUUCGAAUUAACAGGCAGAAUUACCACCAAGGCCUGACAAUGCAAGCUGGGCGAGCAAUAGUUAAGGGAAUUUUACAGAAAUUUCCAGAUAUCAAGGGCAGAGCACUCUGGACUUUGCCUAUAAAUUCAGAAGAAUGAGAACUCAUUCAAGACAGACGAACAAAAUAAAAUAUUUUAAAAAACUCAAUCAAACAAAAAAACCCAUCAGUCUCACUGAUCAAUUCAAUGAUUUAACCAUCAUUCCAGCCUUUAGAAGAAGCAAAGCCAAUAUACCAAGGACCUUCAAAGCUAUCCUUGAGAUUCUACUCAGAAUUCAUUCAAUCUUCAGUCAAACUGACGAAAUCAAAUAUCAUUUGAUCUCAAAAGCCUUCGAAUCCAGAAGCAAUCAAGCUAUUUAGCUUAUAGGAAUCCUCCAGCUCUCAGCAAAACAGACAGAAGUCAAUCUUCUGUAGCCAGAAUCCAGCUCAAAGCAGAGUAUAGCUCAUGCAGACAGCUCGCAAACAAGAAAAACGAGACCUCACUCGUUACUAAUUUGGUUCAAGCCAAAACAAGCAUAACUCUGGUUUUUCAUAACAUGGAAAUGUCAACAAAUACACAGGGAUGUAUUGAGCACUCAGAACAGUCAGAACAGAUCUUGCUCGUCUCUUAAGUCAAGCAAACAGGUACCUUGGAGCAGUUCCAAGUCAGCAGCCAUCAAUCCAGGCACUCUCAAUCCAAUCCAGGCCUAAGGAAUAUCAAUUCUGCAUAUCUAGCAGGCCUUUCCAUGGCCAGAACAUAUUAAGCUCUACCAAUCUCGACAUUGGCAUCGAUCCCCAGUCAAAUCUCAUCAGUUGAAGAUACUGACAUGCAAUUCCAGUAUAGUCCAGCCCGGUUCUCCAGAACAGGCAGAAGUCAAAGUCCAAUGUUCUGUCUUUACAGAUUUGGCAGUUUUCAUUUGUUUUCAAUAUCGCUCAAUAGGCAAUUUUCAUUUCAAACAGUUUAAAUUACUUUCCAGCUCUUUAUUUUGGCCAGACCUACCAGUUUUGCUACUAUGAUAAAUUAUUAAAGUCCUCACCAGUUUGAGGCAAGAAAAGAACUUAUUUUGGGAAGAUAUUCAUCACCCAACUUCACAAUCACUUGAUUAAAGUUAGUAACUUGGGGCGCAAGUUAUCUAUUUUUAACAAGUCUAUUACGGUUUUAACUGCUAAUAGUGGCACGCUCGCGUAAAAGAAAGUUGACCUAUUGACCACAAAUGGUUUCCAGGCCAAUGAGAAUUUUGCCCUACCAUCACAGGAACACAACUAAAAUGGAUGAAAAAAUUUGGCAUGCCCAAUGGGAUUUCACAAUACACAUAUACCUAAAAGCCUCCCUUUUGGUAUAUGAAUAUUGAGAGUUCUAGCCAAAAUCCAUGCUUCGCUAUGGAUCAGCCGGCCAUCCGGUUGGAAAUACAUGAAUCAAAAGAAAGUGAUGGUAGACAGUUAGCUCACAGCAGUACCAGAAGCUGGUGUUCCAGCUCUAGUUCUUGGAAGAUAAGCCAGAUACAAGAGGCUGUACUCAGACAAGAGGCUGCAACACAAAGAAGCCAAGACACCCUGUAUAACAUGACUGCCAUGAUGAGAUGGAAAGUUAACAAGCAAUUCAGAAAGGAUUGUGAGACUGCUAUUGCAAGAAAUCCAAAUCUAAACCCUGUAGUCCAGCGGUUAGAUCUCCAUUUUGGGCCUCCACCAGAUUUUGUAUGGCCAUAUCAGGAAGACCUUUUAAUUGCAUAGAUGGCUGGAAUGCCAGAACACAAGAAAUACAGGUUGGAAAAAGAGGGGAAGCUUUCACAAUUCAGGAACAAGAGGUUCCAGUCCUUCCAGUGGGUCCAGUACCGGCCCAGGUCCCUCAAAACCAGCCAGAACUUCUUCCUCUAUGGCCAGAAGUUCCACACAACCAACCAGCUACACAUCUGCCUGAACAGCAGAUGAUAUUACUAUAUAGAGCCAGAAGGAUGGAUCCCAAUCCAUUUCCCCCACUUCCAAGGGGCAGAAGAGGCAGAGGAGGACCUAAUCCUUUGGCCGAUAAUGACAGGAACAUGUUGAGGGCAAACUGGAGAAAUCGUCUAGAUUUUGAGGAAGAGGAAGAGCGCAGUGAAGAAGAGAUGCCCAGAGUGCACAGAAUUGAGCAAAGGGCUAAACAGAUUCAGCCAGAACAGGGACGAAACAUGCCUACAUUGUUCAGAUGCAUUUACCCCCUAUUCCAAUGUACCUAACUUCACUUUGUUCAAUGGGGAAGAUAGUCAUGCAUCCUCUGUUGAACAUAGGCAGAUUUUCUGUCCAGUGCAUAGCUAUUGAGAAUAACCCACUCUUAAAACUCAUACUUUUUGGAAAUUCUCUGUCUGGUCAAGCCUUCACUUGGUACACCAUUCUGCCAGCCAAUUCCAUACAAACAUGGGAAUAGAUCGAAAAUGCUUUUCAUGACUAUUAUUUCAGAAUUCAGCCAGAAGUCACCAUCAGUGACCUGGUAGCUCUUAAACAGGCUGAGGAUGAACUUGUUCAAGAAUUCAUCACUAGAUUCAAGAAGCUCAAAAUGAAGUGCAGGAUUCCCAUACAAGAUAGACAUUUCAUCCAGAUGGCCCAAAUCGCCCUUAAAAUCUCUCUGAGGAAGAGAUUUGAUGGAAUUUUAUUUGCUAACUUGGCAAAACUGGCAGAUAAAGCCUCUAAGUAUGAAGAUCUACUCAAGGAAGAACAGCAGAGAAGAAAUUCUUCUAAGGGCACAUACUGCAAAAUGCCAUCUUCUUCAGUCCAUUUGGUUGAAGUAGAAUCGGAGGAAAGCCAAGAAAGUCCAGGAGAGGCAAAAGUGGCAAUGGCAGAAAUGACAAAGCUGAAACACCCCCAUCAGUUGUAAAGCUUUGGUCAAACCACCAAAAGAUCAUAAGCCACCUCCAUUUACAGGCGGGUUUGUCCCUAAUAAACCAACACAAAAUAAGGUCUAUUCCUUCAUUUGACCAAGGUUGAUGCCUUGUUUGAUGAGAUGUUCUUACAAAAGGCAAUAGAAACGCCUCACAAAUUGCAUAAACCAGAAGAACUCAAAGGCAGACAGUAUUGCAAAUGACACAAUUCCUGAAAUCACUCCACCAAUAGUUGUGUCGUUUUCAGGGACAUUGUACAGGAAGGAAAAACUGCAGGGAAGUUGAAGCUGGCUGAGAAGCCGCCUACUGUGACAACAGAUCCUUUUCCUCAGCCUUAGUAAACAUGGUCAACCUAAACUUGCCAGAACAGAAGAAGGGCAAACUAACAGUGGAAGUUAGCCCUAGCAUGGGAAGAAGAGUCAUAAAGGUGUUGAACUAAAUGCCAAAGGCUACUAUCUCAGCUGGGGUAGUUCUUUGCAGCAUAUGUAAGUGUGAAUGUGAGCUAGAAAUAGCUCUGGACAAGCAGAAUACACUUACUACAAGUGUUUUUGACAAAAUUGGAACCUCAUACCAGUAAACACCGGUUCCAGCUUUAUCCAGAAAUGCAGUCAGGUAGAAAUCUGAUAAGAAGUGUACCCAAUACAUCAAGAAGGUGGCAGAGCAACCAAAGAAGGAGGUACAAGUCAAGCUGUCUGAAAAUGACAAGCCCUUGACUAUCAUUAUAGAUUGCAACUGGUAUUCUGUAAGAAGAAAUGGCAGACCAACUUUGGAAUUAACCAUAACACAGAGAAGAAGAAUCCAGAGAUAGUAUUGCACUUUCCUAAAGAAUAGCAAGGACACGAAAGUGUUCCCAAAUAUCAAUUCUAUCAAGAUUAAGAAUGAUCCAGAAAAGACUGUUUAGGCAAAACAACUAGCACACCAACAGGACAGUUUAACCGAAUCGUCUUUCUACCAAGGUUCAUCUUCGCAGGAACAGUCCAGAACACCAUGUCCCCAAAGAUGAUAGGGAACAGACAUAUCCAAUAUAAGGGAGCAGGCAACUUCAAGUAACUGACAAUUCUUACGUUCAGACAUACCAUUCUGUUGAGGAGUGAAUGAAGUGGUAGUUUGGUGAAUGAUACCUUGAUCACGGAAGAACUAGGUCAAGGUACGAUUCACAUAUUCACCUUCGUUAUCAGUCCGAAAUACUUUAACACGGACAUGAAAUUGAGUAGACACCAUAGCACAAAAAUCGGGAAGAAUAGAGGCAACAUCAUGUUUAUGCUUCAUCAAAUAUACCCAUGUUAAGUGAGUGCAGUCAUCAAUGAACGUGACAAACCAACAGAAACUAUGAGAAUCACAUGGGCAGAGGCCCAUACAUUCAAAUGUACUGACUCAAAAGGCAAUGCAGCUUUAUUAUUACUCAAGGGAAAAACAAUAGGAUGGCUCUUGGCCAUUAUACAAGUCUCACAUUUGAAGCUAGACUCAUUACACGAACUAAAUAAUGAAGGAAACAAAUGUUUAAGAUAACCAAAUGAAAAAUGUCCUAAGUGACGAUGCCACAGCCAAAGUUGUUGUUUAUCUUUGACACUGCCACUCUGGACUUUAUUAGCAAUACAACCACGAACUGUUACAGCCGGUAACUAUAAGUAAUACAACCCCCCUAUCCGUUUACCAUGCCCAAUCUUCUCGUGAGUCUUGGGAUCCUGGAAAAAAUAAUAUGUAUAAUAGAAAGUAGCAAACGCGUUAAGUAUAUCAAGUAAACGCCAAACAUAUAACAAACUGCAACGAAUAUUUGGAACCAAUAGUGCAUGGGACAGAGGUAAAGAAUGAGUGAGGUGGAUGGUGCCUUCACCGGUAACUGGGGAAGGUAAACCAUUAGCACUAGUAAUAUAGGGGUCACGAGGGUUAUGAGACAACUCAUCAAACAUAUUAUCAUCAUAAGUCAUAUGAUCAGAAGCACCAGUGUCAAUUAUCCAAGUAUUAGAACUCAUACCUGACAUGGUAUUGGAAGCAUACAAAUUUGCAGAUGUGGCCGGAGGACUAGCCUCAUCUUGAGUCAUAGUGCAGGCGGCCUUAGGACCGUACAUACAAGCUUUGUAGUCAGCAAACCAAUUAGUAUAACCAUACUCCUUAAAACACUUCUCAGAGUAAUGAUUCCCAUUACAAUGACGACACUUAGGAGGACCGUCAAGAAAGCUAGGGGUAGAGCAAGAAGGAUGAGACCCAGCUGGAAAAAAAAAAUUCUAGAUAGGGAGCGACUGGUUGUGUCGUGCUAUGCGACCGGUCGUUGACGUGCUGGGUCAACUUUGAGGGCCAUUGAACCUCCUCCAAGCAUAGCGGACUGACCAUGGAGGAAGUUUCGAGAGGGGGUGGGACAUGACUAAAAGCAAGGAUAUGGCUACGGACACCAUCAUACGAUGGAUCAAGUCCUCCAAGAAAAUCAUAAACUCGAUUGGCUUCAAUUUCUUUCAGAAGACGAGCCCAUCAUUGGCACAACUAAACUCAUGUGGACAUAGACAAUCAAUCUCAUGCCAGAUAGCAUGGAGUUUUUCAUAGAACACUUUGACAGAUUCACCAUUCUGACAAGUAAGUAUGGACUGCCGUCAGACUUGAAACAAACGAGAACUAUUCUGAGUCACAGUAUAGGUCUUCCGGGCGGCCUCCCAUAUAGCAAAAGCAAUAGCAUCAUGUUCAAACAAGGCACGAACUGGCUUAGUCAUGGAAUUGAGAAGCCAUGACUACACCAGGCAAUUAUCUUCUUCAUAUUCGGCAUAGGCAGUGGAAUUUGAAGAUGGAGCAAGCUUCUUCCCAUUGAUUCAACUUGCCAUACGAUGGCUAGUAAUCGUAAUAUGCACACCACGAGACUAAGAGGCAUAAUUGGAGCCAUCCAAUUUGUCAGAAGUAAUCGAGGUAGAGUAAUCACGCGAGGGACGUUCCUCCUUUGUUGCAGACGCACUAGCACACACCACGACUUUGGAAUCAUCACCCAUGAUAGCUGCGGAAAAACACAAUACGAAGCAGAUACGACAAACACAGCACAGGCACGGGCACAAGAACCCUAAAAGAAAUUAGGGCACACAAUAGAACACGAGUGGGCACAACACACACAGGUCACCAGAAAGUCGGCUCUGAUGCCAAGUCAAAUAAUAUGGGUAGAAUAUUUUCAGAUGUAUUUCAUUCUCCGUAAGGAGGUAUUUAUAAUACAAGGUUACAAACCCUAGUAGGGUUAUACUAGGAAAUAAGAAAAGUCCUAAUUACAUAAUAUCUAUAUAAAAAAAAGGAAUAAAUAAAAUCAUAAUAGAAUAAGAAAGAAAUAUCCUAAUAUGACUCGCCAACAUCCAUUGCGAGUGAUUCCGAUUACAAAGGAUGCAUAUUUAACAUACACCUCAUUAUACACCCUCUCACUGUGGAUGCUCUUACAUCCUUUACAGGCGGGACCCAUAAGAGAAAAAGGGAAAGAGAAGGAUUGGAAUUCAAAAUGGAAGGUCCAGAUUUCAUGCAAUUUGAAUUGCACUUCUAAUGGUCUGAAAUAUUAGAAAAAAUACCUAAAAAUGUUUAAAAUAAAUUAUAAAUUUCUACAUAGAUUUUUUUAUGUUAAUUUGUAGGUAAAAUCAUAUGUUCUCCAAAUUUUUUUUAGGUCCAUUUAUUUGAAAAAAUAAAAUAAAUCUAACACAUACAAAAUUAAUUUUAAAAAGUUAAAACACACACACACACAUACACACAAAUGAAUUAUCACAAACAAAUUGAAUAUGCAUUUUUGGAUUUACAUCGUUUCUCAUUGGAGCAAAAAAACGUGUUUACACUCCCCGGAAGUAUAAAGGGGAUGUGAAAGUGGCUUUUACAACCCCGAAUUUAAUUUGUAGGUAAAAUCAUAUGUUCUCCAAAUUUAUUUUUUUUUAGGUCCAUUUAUUUGGAAAAAUAAAAUAAAUCUAACACAAAAAAUUAAUUUUAGAAAGUUAAAACACAAAAAAAAAAAAAAAACACACACACACACACACAAAAACAAAAAUGAAUUAUCAUAAACAAAUAGAAUAUGCAUUUUUAGAUUUACAUUAUUUCCCAUUUGAGCAAAAAACGUAUUUACACCCUCCGGGAAGUGUAAAGGGGAUGUGAAAGUGGCUUUUACAACCCCGAAAAUACAGCCCCCCCUCCUCUUUUUCCCCCAACUGUGGAUGCUCUCAGGGACAUGAGGACAGGGUAACCCAUCCUUGGAUAGCACACACACCAAAAGAGAGGGUAACCCAUCCUCGGAUAGCACGAACGACCCAUCUCUCAUUUCAUAACUUAGCUGUAUUUCAAAUAGAUUAAUUUGUUUUUUUAAGUUAAUAUUUUGUUUUGGGGGCGAUAGGCUUCAAGUUGCUACCAAUAUAAAGAAGAGGAAUUCCACUGCCAAUUUGGAACAUGUGCUCUACCACAAAAUGCUGAAUCUUCAAAAUGUCAAUUCCUUUUAAGUUUGUAUUGGUUGGUUGGAGGCAUCAUUUUGAUUGUGUUUGUUUGGUUGUUUUGGCAUCAUGCCAUGUUUUCUAGAAUUAAUUGAGCAUAAUUUACAAAGACAAAAAUGUACAAAGAAUGCUUUUGACAUUUCUAAAAUCAAAUGCUGCUUUGUUUCAAAUUUAUUAGGCAGAAUUGGUGGGUAUACUUAUGCUUGUCUCCAUCAUAUGACAUGACACAACUCUCAUGUAGUAGGGGAUGAAAAAACAUUUGCCACUAAUUUGGUAAAUGACUAGAUUUCUUUUCAUACAGGAAGGACGGGAAUUAUAAACCAACGGUAAUCGCAUGCUUCAUACAAGCAAUAUAUUUUCUUGAACUCAACAGACAAGAGAAUAGAGAUGAAGCAAAUGCUCUAGCUCCUAAGUGGUGGAUACCCUUUAAGUAUAAACUAUCCAAAACCUUAAUCGACGAAAGAGAUGGAUCCAUAUUUGGGGCAAUUUUGGAAUGGGAUCGAUCUGCAGCACUUGCUGACUUUGUACUCAUCAGACCAAGCGGUGCACCAAAGGCAGUUCUAGGAACAUUGCUCAAAGGCCCAACUAUGCGAAGGGAUAUUGAAGACGACCUUCGUUUUCUUGCUUGGGAGAGCUCAAAGGGUUCUGUUAGGUUCAAAGCAGCUAUGGAGGCUCUGAAAUCAGUUGCUGAAAGGUAUGGAAGCACUAAUGUAUGUAUUGCGGGACAUUCAUUGGGGGCUGGAUUUGCUCUCCAAGUGAGAAAAGCACAAUAGCGAAAGAAGGGAUGUAUGUGGAAACUCAUUUGUUCAAUCCGCCUUCUGCUUCACUAGCAAUGAUCAUUGGAGAGGGAGAGAGCAGGAUUUGCUUGGAAGAGAUUGAAGUCAAUGCUCCCUUUGAGAAGUGGAGCUCGGAUCAGCAGUGCAGAGGGAGAUAGGACUUCUGGUUUUGGAUUGAACAAUUGGAUGCCAAAUUUUUCGGGUUUGAAGAAUCCUUGAGAAAAUGGGUUCCUCAUUUUUAUGUAAAUAACAAUGACUACAUCUGCUGUUCUGAUACUAAGCAUGAUGGAGGUGAAGUAAACAAUGCUGACAAGGAGAAUGUGCGUCCAACAAAUGGUCAAGCAUCAGCAAAGCUGUUUGUGAUGUCAAAGGGAAACCAGAAGUUUUCGGAGGCUCACGGAUUAGAGCAAUGGUGGUCUGAUGAUUUGGAACUUCAACUGGCUAUGCAUAACAGCUCAUUAGCAGGCAGCUGAAAUCCUUGUAUAGCCUUCCAGCUCCACAACAAACACUUGCUAGAUAACAAAGGCCCUCUUGUUUUCUUUGUUUGUUAAAUAACUCGUUUUCGACUUGGGCCUUCCAUACUGUCAUGUUUUUAUACUUUGUCCAUCAGUUCAUAAUGGCUAUUCUAUUGCCUUUGCUCAUCGUUGUUUGUCACCUGUGUUUAUUGUCAUUUUCAUUUGUUCAAGUGCUCUAAAUUCUCCUAAGAUAUCUGAAAAAGCUUUACAAUUUUUCCUCCUACAGUACCUCAUCAAUGUGAAAUAAGCAUGAAUAGGGGUAGAAUAAAUCAUGUUGUGCUCUGCUUGGCAGGAUAUGACAAAGUCCUGCGCAUGCUGUGUUCAUCUUAAUAGUGUUCGGGCAUCAUAUUGAGCCUGUAUCGUCUUGUAUCAGAUACCGGCAGGAUAUAUCAUAUGUGACAUGAGCAUGAAUGAGUUGUAAAAUAAAUAAAUAAAAUAUAUUCAUGUUGUGCUCUGCUUGGCUGAGCUUGGCAGGAUAUAUCAUAUAUGCCAAAGUCACAACACAAUGUAAAUACUUCACAUCCACAACUUCAAGGAGAUUUGGAGAAAAUAAAAUAUAAAGAAAGAUAUAUAGGAGCUAGUUGUAUGAUAGGGAGUGCUUGCUUCAGUGUAAUAUUUACAAUCACAGGGGAUUUUGAAAGUGUGCGCUAAAAACUGAAUAAUCUCAAACUGAUGAGUUAAAGCAGCGAGCAUCAAUCAAUCAAGCAAAAUCAAGCCUAGACUUGCUGCUGUUGCAUUAAAUUUCUUACGUCUUUCAGACUAAUCCUUAGCGUUAGCUUGGGAAACACUGGAUUGUGUGGAGAGAUGGAUACUUUUUGCUGCGCAAUCUGGAAGGGCGAGAAUGUUGACUUGACCGUGGUAAGAGAUUUCAAUCUCAACCAAAUCCUCAAUACAGAUACCAAACGACAUUCCUUCAUCAAUUCUUAAGCCCACAACCCCUCCUGCGCCCUCUAUAAACUCGAAGCGAAUUCCUCGUACCUUAAUUAAAAAUAGCGGUAAGUAAAUUUUUAAAAAAAAAAUAGAUAUAAGUUUGGUAAUCCUCUCUCUGAAAUGGAUGCUGCAAUCUGAACAAAUAUCAAUUCAAGAUGAUGUAUGACCUGAUCAAGGAGAGGCCAGUCUAUGCCCCCGUACCAAAAAUCAUAUUUGGAACCGACAACUUCGAGGCGUCCAUCGUCUAUGAAAGAUGGGUUCGUGGGUGUCUGCAAUUAACUCAAUUUAGCACAGAAAUUUUUUAUAGAAAUUUUUUAGUAAUGGCUUUUGCUAUUUGUACAACAUUAUUACUUACCACCUCUUUAAUAUGGAUGGAUCCCCCAUAUAGUGGUGGAUCCUCUUCUAGGGAGAUGGUCAGCAAUGUGAUCUUCAAAUGAAGGGACAAUUUGGAUCACAUUUACUAAUUAUAUUGCUGACAACCUCUUUAAUACGAUAGGUCCCACAUACACUGAUGGUGUCACCUCUAUUACAGGGAUCCACAUCCACUUAUUUGAAAAAAAAUAUUUGUAAAGGAAAAUCAAAGCAAUCCCAACAGAAAAAAUAAAUAUAAAAGGUGAUCUAAUGAAUAAAUAUAGUAUAAAUAACAUUAAACCUGAUUUCAAAUGCCAAUCAUAGAAAUAUUAACCAAUGCAUGCAUAUCUGACGAAAACAAAAACACAUGUAGAGGAAGAAAAAUGAACCUCACUUUUCCAUCUUCCAUCGUAUUUUUUGUCACCCCACGAUUUCCACUUGGAUCAAAGAUAGGCAAGUUAAGAAAACAAAUUGAAUUGAUGUUGUACAUGUAUACCAAGGAGACAUAAAAUUAGGGUACGCGUAAGUCUGUGCGUGUGCAUGUGUGUGUGAAUGAUAAAUAAAUAAUUAUAUAUAUAUAUAUAAAGUAAUCAAAACAUAGCCAGUGAAGGGUAUAACUCAGGUGCUUUUGCUCUUUCAUUUCUACCCGUACGGGCAAAGUUCAAAAUUCUCAGGCACUCAAUGAAUACUUAUAAUAGAUAUUUAGUCAUAUAUACCAAUUCUGAGGACUAAUAAUAUAGAUAAACCCUACACUAUUUAAUUUCUAUAAAAUAAACCCAAAAAAUGACAGCUGGCUCUAUUGAAUUUAAUUUUGAUUAUUAAAUUACUUUGAUGCCCUAUUGAGUGUUUUGGGUUCUUUAAUGAGGUUUUGGGGUUGAGUUUGUGUUAGGAAAUGAAUGGCAAUUUUGUAAUUUAAAAGAAGUAAACCUUUUUGUUAUGUAAUGAGCUUUGGGUGUGUUUCUAAAGUCCAUUUUAUAUAAGAUUUUUUCUAUAAUUUGGGCUUCUAUAUUGGGUAUAAUAGUGAAUCUCUCUACUUAUAAAUCCCCUCCCUAAUAGCUUGUACUAAAAAAAAGUAAUCAAAAUUGAUGAUCAUAACUCUUCUUCCACUACUACAAAAAGUGAAAAAGACGACCAGAAAACAACGACGGUCUAAGUGAAAACCGUCGUGGUUUAUAAAAAGACGACGGUUCUAAAAACACCGUCGUGUAAUACAACCUUAGACAACUAAAAAAUGGAGUUUCAAAUGGCUGUUCAAAAACAACGACGUACAUAAUUAAACAACCGACGUCUAUUUGAAACAGAUUUCCUCAGUGUAAAAUCAAUGCCAACAAAGAACGGCAGAAGUUAUGAAUCGACCGACGUAGAAAGUAAAGACGACGAUUUCAAUAAAAACUGCCGUUUUUACUCAUAAAAUAAGACGACGAGGUUUUCGUAUAAGACGCCGUAUAAUUACAAACAAAUCCACGGCUUUAAAAUACAAAAUAUCGCCGUAUUAAAUUAAUUUACAACGACGGAAAAUAUAAAUAUAUCGACGUCAUUCUCGUAUAGUUCUACUACGUUAUCUUUAAAUCGUACAAUAAAAUUUAUCGUCGUAUUUAUUCAUUUUAUACGUCGUACCUUUAAUUUUAACGGUCGUCUUAAUAAGAAUUUUUGUUAACAAUUUUUUUCUUUGAUUUUCUUAUCCUACGUCGGUAGAUCUACUUAAUGACAAGAAUUGAAAUAACCACGACGGUUUAUAUAGAACACCGCCGACAUAAUCAGUUUUGUCUGAGAUCCCAAGGGUUACGAAAUCUUACCAGAUGGAACUCUGUUCCACAUCAUAAUCUUAACAGAUGACACAGAUUUGCAAAUAUUGCGUCGUGUUAGUUUACAAAUUCUAGAACAUUAAUUUCCCUCAUUUUAAAUUUCCUCGGGAAAGAAAAAUCUAUUUAUCACGCUUUGGAAUUGAAAACUAAAACUGAAAGAAUACGGGGAAAAAAACUCCAUUUAUAAUUUAAAAUUAAAAUCCACGUCGGUUGUAGUACACUUAACGACGUUUAACAAAAUAAUCUACGUCGGUAAUUAUAAAUCUACCGCCAUCGUAACUUAAUAUAGACGACGAGAAAAGACGACGGUAGAACAGAAAACCGCCGUUGUUUCAGUUUCUUUAACAUAUCUUUCUGCAGGACUUGUGUAGUUCAAAGCAUUGACAAUGUCUUCAUCAUAUCUCCCAGAAACUACUGAUUCAAUUGCUCAUGCUUUAGAGGCCAUCUGAAGCCAUUUCUAUUCUUUAUCGCAUUCUUGAAACCCAUCUUCUUCUUCUGAAGCUCUACGGAUAAAGGAAGAGGCUAUCACAAUAAAUCCGACGGAUCUUCUUAGGCAAGAAAAUCAAGCAGAGGAUCAGGCACAUCUGAUCUUCAGAUUUCCCUGAGAAGCGAACUUUCCUUCGACAGCGAGUGGAGGCCAGGCUUGCAUCUCUUUUGAUGGAAAGCAAGGAGUAUUCAGAAGCACUAAGUGUCCUAUCAGGCUUGAUCAAGGAAGUGAGAAGGCUAGUUGACAAGCUUCUUCUUGUGGACAUAUAUUUGAUGCGAGUAAGCUCAAUUUCUCUUUGAGAAAACAUCCAAAUUAUUAUCUUUGAGACAUGAGAGACUGAGAGAGGAAGAACUUGGAACCUUAAAUGUAAACCGAAAAUGAAUGAAAGCGACAAAUUUAUAGAAUAAAUUUUUAAAACCAACGGCGGUCCUUACAAACAAACCGCCGUUUAAAUUGUAAAAUCAACGUCGGUAUGAUCGACGUAUAUUACAGAAAUCCACGUCGGUAAAUUAAUAAAAACGACGUGUUAAAUAAUAUACCAUGACGCGAGUUAUUACUUAUGUACUUUAAUUUUUGAGUUUACUACGACGGUACCUACAAACUACUAUCGUAUUUAUUUACCACGUCCGAAGUUAAAUGUACCGUCGUAUUUUGUAAUUUAUACGUCGUAGUUAUAUGUAACCGCCAUAUUAUUUUUUUGAAAUGGUUUUAUAUGUAAGCAACUUUUCGUCUACUUGACUUACACAUUUGUUGUUUUUAUAUUCUUAUUUUAUUUAAAUCUGUCAUCCAAAAAAGAAACUUUACAUAUUGCAGAAUAUUAAUUUCCUUCGUUUUAAAUUUCCUCCGGAAAAAAAACUCUAUUUAUAACGCACUGUAAUUGAAAAAUAAACUGAAAGGUCACGGGAAAAAAAAUUCUAUUCAUAAUUUAAAAAUUAAAAUCCACGUCGGUUAUAUUAAACCUAACGACGUUAAAUGAAAUGAUUCCACGUCGAAUGAAAAAUAUUGCGUCGUUUUAGUUAAAAACGACGUAGUUAAAUGUAACCGCCGUAUUAUUUUUUUGAAAUGGUUUUAUAUGUAAGCAACUUUUCGACUUACACAUGCACUGUUUCCAAACCCGAUUAAAAAUUUCAAUCUCCCAGAGAAACCUUUUCGUCUUUUUUCCUUGUCAGAGCAUUGUCAGAGUUUCUCAUCGUCUUCCUCUCGUCUUCUUCGUCGUCUCUGAACUUAAACAUCGAUCAUCUUCCUCUUGCUUUCAUUGCACGCAAAAGGUAAGCUUUCAUUUUCACUAUUUUGGUUACUGUUUUGCAUGCUCAUACGUUUUUUGUUUGAAAAAUCUUUUUACCUUUUUUCUGGCCAAAAUCAUUUUACUUCUUUCCAAGUUUGAUAAAAUAUACAGACAAAGAGAGAAAGUUUCCAACUUUGAAGACAACUACAUCAACUAAAUAAGACGACGGUAGACCACGACGGUUCGUCAGUUGUUCUAGCGUCGUCUGAAAAUUGACAAAGUUGUUUUUAAAAUAAUAGUCUUUUUUUAUAUGCUUGUUUAAUUGCAGGUUUGAUUUCGCUGAACAAUGGUUUUUGUUUUUCCCUUAUUUGAUAAAAUAUAAAGAAAAAGAAACUAGGGUUGGUAUCUAAUAUAGACGAUAAAAUAUAAAUAAUAGUUUACCACGACGGUGUAUUACUAUUGACGUCGUGUGAACAUAUAUACCACGACGUUAUAUAAAUAAUGGUUUUAAACAUUUAUUACGUCUGAGAUUAUUUCAUUGCGUCGUCUAAAAUCAUAUCAUACGUCGUAUUUUUUUAAUACCGUCGUUUGUGUUCUUAAUGUUUUCCUGAAAUAUUUUCACUUGCAGUUUUGUCUGUUAAAAUGGUUUCUCAACAACAAACUAAGGAUUCUGGCUCCAAGAAGCUUGGAAUGGUAGCUCCUCAAGAUAAGUCUUCGAAGGAGAUGAAGUCUUCGAAGAAGAUGAAGUUUGCUUCAUCAUCUGCUGAGACAGAACAAACCAGCCAGACAACAAUCUCAGAUGAUUCAAAGACUGGUCGAGGUAUGAGCACAAUGCCUCGUGUUGUGAAGAGAAAGCUUCAGAAACUGAGGCCAAUUGUUGAGUACAAUAAAAGGGGGAAAGGUGUUGGCCAAGCACAUAUUGAGAUGCAGUCGUAUAUUGGUGUGUUGGCACGCUCCAGGAUCCCACUUGUGGACAAGAAAUGGUCCCAAAUCCCCAAGGAUAUAAAGGAGCAGAUUUGGGAAGCAGUUGACAUGGCUUUUGUCGUAGGCCAAGGGGGCAAGACCUCUGUUUUAGCUUCUGCUUCCAAGAAAUGGAAGGAUUUCAAGUCUACACUAACGAGGCAUUAUAUCCUUCCAUACACCAAUGACAGGGAGAAAUUAAGCCAACCCCCUGAAACAUAUAAAUUCAUAGAGAAAUCACAAUGGGAUGCCUUUGUAGCUUCAAGGCUAUCCAAAGAUUUUGAGUCUGUGCAUUCUCAACAUGCACAGAUUAGGGAGAAACUCGAGUACAAUCAUCGAUUGUCUCGAAAAGGAUAUGCUGGAUUGGAGGAUCAAUUGGAGGAAACCAUGCCUGGGGUAGAAAUUGAUCGAUCUACCUUAUGGAAGAGAGCUAGACAGGACAAACAUGGUAACAUCCCUGAUCCAAAGGUGGCAGAGAAAGCAAAAUUAAUUGUAAGCCUACUAUCACUCUGUUUUAAAUUUUUAUUAAACUGUGAAUUAUUCUUAUUACGUCGUAUGUUAUAUUUUUCGUCGUGUGAAUGAUAUUACCACGUCGAAAAGUUUUUAAAAACGUCGUUAAAGGUCUAAAUAGGAAUCACUACUAUGUUUUCUGUAAUUACAGCAUAAGACGUCGGUGGUUCAUUUUCGCGUCGUGUGAAUGAUAUUACCACGUCGAAAAUUUUUUAAAAACGUCGUUAACGGUCUAAAUAGGAAUCACUACUCUGUUAUCUUUAAUUAUAGCAUAAGACGUCGGUUGUUUAUUCAUUUCGUCGUUUUAAAUAAAUAACCACGUCGGUAUAACUACCGUCGUGAUAAGUUAUAAUAACGUCGGUUUAUACGUUAUUGCGUCGUGUGAAAUUAUAUAAUACGUCGUUUGUACAUAAAUAACCGUCGUGUGUUUUUUUGUUUAUCUUUUUUUAGGAUGAAUUGCAGAAACAAGUCUCGGAAGGCAAAGUCAGAGUAGAUGGCAGCAAUGAUGUGCUGACCAUGGCUUUGGGCCCCGAGCAUCCAGGCAGACUGAGGGGAGUUGGUGCUGGUGUUUCCCCAAGGCAAUAUUUCAAUUUGCCCAAACCACAGAGGGUGAGCUUUGACGACCGUUUGAAGGACAGUUUAAGAGUUCUCCUUCAAGAAGAGACUAAAAAGAUGGAGGCUAAGGCAAGGGAAGAGGCCUUAAGGAUGGAGGCUAGGACAAAACAAUUGGUAGAGGCUGAGAGGGAGCAUUUCCUGAGUCAGCUUUCCCAAUUAAUUCCCAAUUUUGAUCCAAGCAUGCUUAAACCAAGAAUUAGCCAAAGCCCCAAAAAUCCAAUGUCUGACAAAGCUAGCUGCUCUGGAGGUGAUGUGAGAUCCCUACAUUUGGAGGAUGAUACUGCCAAAAUGGGGAAACAUCAGCCAGAUGAAGAGAAGGAAGAAGAAAAAAGAGAUGAAGAGAAGGAAGAAGAAAAGGAGAAAGAAGAUGAAGAAAAGCAUGACGACAAGGUAUGUUCACAUAACUUUGCCUUUUUUAUUUGUUUUUCAAAAUUUCAGACGUCGAUAUUUUUAUUUAAUCCGUCGUUUGUUUAAAACUUAGACGGCGGAAUUUUUUUAAGACGUAAUAAAAUAUUUAAACGACGGUUUUUGCACCGUCGUUUAAAUGGUUUCAGACGACGCUUUAUUCAUAAAACCGUCGUCUUUAUUGAAUUACCACGACAGUUUUUUCACCGUCGUUUAAAUACUUUUAAGACGACGUUUUAUUACUUAAACCGUCGUCUUUAUUGAAUUACCACGUCAUUUUUUUUAUUUCUUUAAACAGGUUAUUGAAGUUGGUGCUUAUUCAAAUAUGGAGGCGCCAUCUUCUUUAAAAACCCUUUGUCGUUUUGUGGAAACGACACUCCUGCCUGAGGAUAAGACACUCCAAUUUACAAUUGAUAAGGAGGUGUUUGGUGGUGAGCGCGAUACCUUCCUCCUGCCUGAAGAUAUUACACAAUUUGCAGGCAUGGAAGAAAUUGGAGCUACUGUAUUGGCUGUAUAUAUGAGGUUUGUACUUCUAAAAUAAUACCUCGUUGGUUUAUAUAUUGCGUCGUCUUAACUAACUAACCACGUCGUCUUAACUAACUACCGUCGUGAUAAAUAUAUUAUAACGUCCUCAUCUAUUUCAGUACGUCGUGUGAAAUAUUAUAAUACGUCGUUUUUUUAUACAUAACCGUCGUGUUUGUUUGUGCUGACUUGUUUAUAUUAUUUUAUGUAUUUAGGUACUUACACGAUGUUUUGAAACAAGCCAAUAUGUGCAGCAUGGUUGGCUUUAUUGACCCUGCUACAAUUAGUGCCAACUCUGGCACAAUAACUGAAAGAUCACGACUGGUAGCAGCUCGACUUCAGAAGACAGACGGUGAACAGCUUUUCAUGAUGCCUUACAAUCCAGGGUUAGUCUCCUUAGGAUUUUGUUUUUAUGAUUUUCAAUAAAUGACAGCUUAUAAACUAACCACGUCGGUGUUUUAUUUUAUUUAGUCGUUUGAAACUACUAACCACGUCGGUAUUUAUUUGUCGUCGUGAUAAAUAUAUAAUGUCGUCGUUAUCUACUUUAUUUCGUCGUGUGAAAUACUAUAAUACGUCGUUUUUGUAAAUAACCGUCGUUUUUAUAUUAAUUUUGUGCAGCCGUCAUUGGAUCCUGCUGAUUGUAAGAGCAAAGAAGGAGACCGUCUAUUUUCUGGAUCCUCUGCCAGGUCAUCGUGUGGUCGACGAAGAGGCGAAAAACAUCGUGAACAGUGCUUUAAAAAUAUAUAAUACCCACAUAGGCCGAGCAGGACGUAAAAAUGUAAUUUGGAAAACUCUCUCAGGCACACCAAAGCAACCCAGCAAUGUCGAAUGCGGGUAUUAUGUGAUGCGCUUCAUGAGGGACAUCAUCAUGGAUCCUUCCUUGGGGUUUGAGAAUAAGGUAAGAAGAAAUUACCUUCAUACAUUUCACGUCGUUUUUUGUAUUAUCAACGACGGUCAUGUAAAAUUAACGUCGUUGAAUGGAUAUACUACGUCGGUUAUGAAAAAUAUCGUCGUCUGUGAUUGAAUUUCUUUUUAUUUAUAAACCCUAAUAGUCAUUGUUUAUGCAGUAUGCCAAGGGAAACCAGGAAGCUUCAUACCCCCAAGAAGCCAUUGAUGAAGUCCGGAAUGAAUGGGCAGAGUUUGUUUUCCAAAUUAUUAAACAGGGCAAUUAUUGAACACUUGAUAUUUAUGUAUAAUGUACAAAUUUUCUCUAUAAUAUGUAAUGUAAAAAUUUGUUGAGGUUUUCUUAAAUUAAAAAAAAAACAAACAUACAAAUUGCUUAACCGACGUGUAAUACUUUUCCAACGACCUAAUAAAGUCACAAACCGUCGUAUUUUGUUGUUUCGUGUUUUAAACAAUUACGACGUAAAAAUAUAGUUAGACGACGUUCUUUGAACAAUUGAGUCGUUUAUGGUUUACAACAUCUUCAAUUUCUUAAGGGUUCAGGGUAUCAUCGACGACGUUUAUGUAACGACAGCGGUUAAGUCGUUGAUAUAUAUAUUUUACGUCGUAUAGUUAAAUAGCCGCCAUGGUUUCUCAUUUUAACGACGUCAUUUUAACGACUUAGUAGUCUAUUACAAUUUACAACGUCUACAAUUUAUUAACACCGACGUGGUUUGUUGUUGUGGUAAGAAUAUUUUAUUAUUUUUAUAUCAAAAUAUUCAAAAUAAAUUUAAAAUAAAUCAGAAAAUUGAAAAGUCAACUCCUAUGAAGUCAUUGAUAUAUUUUCUUCCACAUAAACCUUGAAAAAAUUCAUUUUGAAUAACAAAAAUUUAAAAUGACCAUCCAAAACAAAAUUGUUUUGAUGAGUCAUAAAAUCACUUCUAGUUUUAUGGUUUAGGGUUUAGAGUCUAGGGUUUAGAGAUUAGGGUUGUUAUUUAUUGGGGUUUAUUUUUAAAGUAUAAUUUUUGGGUAGUCUAGGGUAUAUGUUAGGCUUUAAAACCAUAAAACCUUUUAUAAACUUAAUUUUUUAAAUUGUAUAAUUUAAUUUUAUGGGUUUAGGGUAUUAAUUUUUAACGACGGUGGUUGGGUCGUGGAAUACAUAUUUUACGUCGUACAGUAAAACAUACGACAUGGUUUACGCUUUAAACGACGUCAUUUUAAUAUGUAAGUCGGUUUAUAUAAUUUACAACGUUUUUAAUUUCUUAACACCGACGUGGUUUCUCAUUUUAACGACGUCAUUUUAACGACUUAGUAGUCUAUUACAAUUUACAACGUCUACAAUUUAUUUAACACCGACGUGGUUUGUUGUAUGGUAAGAAUAUUUUAUUAUUUUUAUAUCAAAAUAUUCAAAAUAAAUAUAAAAUAAAUCAGAUAAUUGAAAAGUCAACUCCUAUGAAGUCAUUGAUAUAUUUUCUUCCACAUAAACCUUGAAAAAAUUCAUUUUGAAUAACAAAAAUUUAAAAUGACCAUCCAAAACAAAAUUGUUUUGAUGAGUCAUAAAAUCACUUCUAGUUUUAUGGUUUAGGGUUUAGAGUCUAGGGUUUAGAGAUUAGGGUUGUUAUUUAUUGGGGUUUAUUUUUAAAGUAUAAUUUUUGGGUAGUCUAGGGUAUAUGUUAGGCUUUAAAACCAUAAAACCUUUUAUAAACUUAAUUUUUUAAAUUGUAUAAUUUAAUUUUAUGGGUUUAGGGUAUUAAUUUUUAACGACGGUGGUUGGGUCGUGGAAUACAUAUUUUACGUCGUACAGUAAAACAUACGACAUGGUUUACGCUUUAAACGACGUCAUUUUAAUAUGUAAGUCGGUUUAUAUAAUUUACAACGUUUUUAAUUUCUUAACACCGACGUGGUUUCUCAUUUUAACGACGUCAUUUUAACGACUUAGUAGUCUAUUACAAUUUACAACGUCUACAAUUUAUUUAACACCGACGUGGUUUGUUGUAUGGUAAGAAUAUUUUAUUAUUUUUAUAUCAAAAUAUUCAAAAUAAAUAUAAAAUAAAUCAGAAAAUUGAAAAGUCAACUCCUAUGAAGUCAUUGAUAUAUUUUCUUCCACAUAAACCUUGAAAAAAUUCAUUUUGAAUAACAAAAAUUUAAAAUGACCAUCCAAAACAAAAUUGUUUUGAUGAGUCAUAAAAUCACUUCUAGUUUUAUGGUUUAGGGUUUAGAGUCUAGGGUUUAGAGAUUAGGGUUGUUAUUUAUUGGGGUUUAUUUUUAAAGUAUAAUUUUUGGGUAGUCUAGGGUAUAUGUAGGCUUUAAAACCAUAAAACCUUUUAUAAACUUAAUUUUUAAAUUGUAUAAUUUAAUUUUAUGGGUUUAGGGUAUUAAUUUUUAACGACGGUGGUUGGGUCGUGGAAUACAUAUUUUACGUCGUACAGUAAAACAUACGACAUGGUUUACGCUUUAAACGACGUCAUUUUAAUAUGUAAGUCGGUUUAUAUAAUUUACAACGUUUUUAAUUUCUUAACACCGACGUGGUUUCUCAUUUUAACGACGUCAUUUUAACGACUUAGUAGUCUAUUACAAUUUACAACGUCUACAAUUUAUUUAACACCGACGUGGUUUGUUGUAUGGUAAGAAUAUUUUAUUAUUUUUAUAUCAAAAUAUUCAAAAUAAAUAUAAAAUAAAUCAGAAAAUUGAAAAGUCAACUCCUAUGAAGUCAUUGAUAUAUUUUCUUCCACAUAAACCUUGAAAAAAUUCAUUUUGAAUAACAAAAAUUUAAAAUGACCAUCCAAAACAAAAUUGUUUUGAUGAGUCAUAAAAUCACUUCUAGUUUAAUGGUUUAGGGUUUAGAGUCUAGGGUUUAGAGAUUAGUGUUGUUAUUUAUUGGGGUUUAUUUUUAAAGUAUAAUUUUUGGGUAGUCUAUGUUAUAUGUUAGGCUUUAAAACCAUAAAACCUUUUAUAAACUUAAUUUUUUAAAUUGUAUAAUUUAAUUUUAUGGGUUUAGUGUAUUAAUUUUUAACGACGGUGGUUGGGUCGUGGAAUACAUAUUUUACGUCGUACAGUAAAACAUACGACAUGGUUUACGCUUUAAACGACGUUAUUUUAAUAUGUAAGUCGGUUUAUAUAAUUUACAACGUCUUUAAUUUCUUAACACCGACGUGGUUUUUCAGUCGUCGUUAUAUAAAAAAUUCAAAAUAAAUUUAAAAUUAAUCCGAAAAAUGAACGGCCUUACGUUCUUAAUCCGAAAAAUGAAGUUUCCGUCGUGGAAUAUUAAAUUUACGUCGGUACUUGUAGAACUUUCGCCUUGGUUUUUCUUUCGACGUUUUAUAACGCGCGCGCUCUAAAAAUUUUCGCGCGACCUAAAUUUUUUUAGAUUUGGCUCUUAGUCUUAUACUUUGAUCCCUGAAACCUAAAAUUUCAGAUUUCACGCGACAUAACAUUUCGCUCUCUCACUUCUGCUCUAAUUAAAAGUUGCACUCUCCAGGCUCGUCGAAUCUGUGAGCUCGUCCAACCUGUAAGUACAAACCCUAUCUUCCCCUUGUAAAUUCAUUGAAUGAUAUUAGGUUGUUUUGUUAAAGGGUUUUAGGUAUAUGCUUUGCGAUCUGUUAAUAAUGUGCUUAUAGGUAUGGGUUCAUGGAUUUUCUGUUUAAUGGGUUCAUGACAAGAUCAAAUAAAGGUGUACUUUUGCUGGAAAUCAACACAAAAAGACACAUCACCAACUUCCAAAUGAUUUCCAGCAAAAGGACACCUUUAUUUGAUCUUGUCAUUUUCCGCUCUGGAGAAGGUGCAAAGUGCACCAAUGCUUAUAGGUAUGGGUUCAUGGAUUUUCUGUUUAAUGGGUUCAUGGAUUACAUUAUCUGUUAUGUUGAAUUGGGAAUGGAUUUAAUUUUGUCGUAUCUUUUAAUCACCCUAUGUUAUGUUGAAUUGGGAAUGGAUUUAUUGUUUUCAUGCUUGGUUUCAUGUAUAUGUUGGUCUCUUGCUUGGUUUCAUAUAUACGUUGUGUCUCUAAUGGGUUUUGUGUUCUGAAAAUAAACUGAGACACGACGAAUUUUAAGGCGUACGACGACGAUUACACGACGGUGUUUUUAAACUACCGUCGUUGUAUUACUUAUACACGACGGUUUUUUCAUAAACCGUCGUUUGUAUUACGUAUAAUAGACGACGUCUGUUGAAAAUCCGUCGUCUAUAUAUGCCAAAUACGUCUGUUUUUGAUUAAAACCCGUCGUCUCUGUUGUUUAUUACUUGCGAUUAGAUCAUUGUAUAAUCUGCUAUAGUGAUGGUCAUUGCCUGUAUUUUCACUUUAUUAUAGAUAAUAGGUUAUAGUGUCGGAGAUGGAUAAGUCAUGGAUGCACUCGGAUAGAAGAUCGAAGGCAUAUGAGUUUGGGGUGGAAGCAUUUUUGGACUUUGCUGUAGAAAAUCUUCUAACUACAACACAUAUCCGUUGUCCAUGUGUUAAAUGUGUUAAUUUGAAGUUGUUUGGGGUUGGAAUUAUAAGGGAUCACUUAUACUUUAAUGGAAUUGACCAAAGCUAUAAGAAUUGGACAUUUCACGGAGAACCUUGGGAAGCAACUACUAAUGCUAGCAGAAAUGUUGAAGAAGAUGAUGGCCAUAGUAGGUACAGUUUUGUGUCUGAAGAAAUUGAUAUGGAUGAUAAUGAUUUUGGUGAUUUUGGUUCGGAUCCGUAUGAGUUUGCCAAUGUGAUUGGGGAUGGAGAUCAACCAGUGUACCCUGGUUGUAGAAAGUACACGAAGUUAUCGGCAUUAGUGAAGUUGUAUAAUUUGAAGGCAAAACAUGGGAUGAGUGAUGUCUGUUUUACAGAAUUAUUGAUACUUCAAGGCGAUUUGCUUCCAGAAGGAAAUACAAUACCAACCUCCAUAUAUGAGUUUUAUUCUUUAAGUUUCCAUUUAAAAUUAUUUCUUAUGUUUAUCUUAUAUAUUUGGGACCGUAAUGCUUGAAUUUUUCGUGUCAUGUAGGCAACAUAUGAUCCACAUCAAGACUGCUUAUCCAAAAUUUAGAAAGAGAACAAAGUGGCUGCAGGAUAAGCACAAUAGCACUUUCAUUCAAUGGCUACGCUUCAAGGUAUAUGUUGUUGAAUAACGUAUUUCUCUUUUAAUUUUCUUCUUAUUUAUAUGUUAGGAUGAAUUAAGAUAUGAUUAAUUUGCAGGUUCAAAGUGAAGUUGAGGAAGACAAUCAUGGCGUAUCAGAAAAUUUAAGGUGGCUAGCAGCUGGUCCAAACAUGUCAGUGCCAUUAUAUAGGAGCUAUCUUAUUAAAGGUAUUAAAUUCAAUAUCAAGGCACAAGAUGAUGUGCGGACAACUCAAAAUAGUGGAGUUUAUUUACUUGCACAUACCAUGCAAGUUGCUAGUGCCAAGGAUAAAAACCCAAUUCUCUCAAAUAUGGGUUUCUAUGGUGUCAUUCAAGAAAUUUGGGACCUUGACUACCAAAAGUUUACAAUCCCAGUCUUUAGGUGUGAUUGGAUAGAUAGUUCUGGUCUUGUAGUCGACGAACUUGGAUUUACCCUUGUAGAUUUGAGUAAAAUUGGACAUAGGAAUGACCAAUUUGUUUUGGCUUCUCAAGUCAAACAAAUAUUUUUUGUUGACGACCCGAUGCAUCGUGGUUGGUCGGUAGUGUUAUCAAUGCCUAGUAGAGAAUAUAAUGAUGUUAUUGGUGAUGAAGUAUUAGGUGAUGUGAUAAUUGAGUGUGAGCCAUUUACUAGAGGGAUGCAAAAUGUUGACACAUUUGAUGAACUGGUAGGUGAGUUAGGCGGUCAAAAUAUUCGAGAUGGGUGUGAAGAUAUAUGGAUUGAAUGAUGCUUAUGUAAUUGGCAGUGUAUGACAUUAAUUUUGUAAUAUAUUGUAAUGUGAUUUCUUCACUUUCUACGUUCAAAUAAAACACGACGUUAUUGUGAAUCAGUUAUUCAGCAUAUUUACCGACGUCUUAAAGCAACGUAACAAUGAAGAACCACGACGCUAUUGUGAAGCAAUUAUUCAGGAUAUCACGUCGGUGAAGGAUAAAGAACCGCCAUGUAAUUCAAAAUAACACGACUCUAAUCCCAUAAUACCGACGUCUAAAAAACGAGAUAUGUAAUCUGAACGUUAAAAAAUACGACGUCAUCAUACAUUUUCCACGUCGCAAGUUCUUUUAUAAACGAAGAGGAACGAAAUUAAUUCCGACGGAAAUUCAUUAUAACCGCCUUCUAAUAACAAUUAAACGACGUUAUUUGUAAUACGGCUCCCAUCAUAAUCUACGCCGUCUAUAUGUUCUGUAAUACGGCUCUCAUUUAUUUGGAACCGACGUUGUUUAGACGUUCAACGUCGUCUAUAUUAUUAAGUGCGUCGUGAGUAAUGAAUACAUAUAAAUACAACGUCGACUAUAUAAAUGUAUACGUCGUAAAUAAUGACACUGACAACUAUUUCCACGUCAUCUUUUUUAGAUAAAAUCGAAGUGGAAAAUUUAUUUCACGACGGUUUUUUGUAAAUAAGAGACGUUGUAGAACUUUAGCAGACUAAACACGUCUGUUUUUAUUGUUUUCCGACGUUGUUGUAUUUAACAACGUCUAAUAUUUAUGGUCGUUGUUUGUUUCUGAAAAUAGGACGUAUAAAUUUUUUAAUACGACUCUCAUAUAUUUGUAACUGACGUUGUUUAGUUUUUCAACGUCUACUAUAGAAACACAUACGUCGUAAAUAAUGACACUGACAACUAUUUCCACGUCAUCUUUUAUCAAAAAAUCGAAGUGGAAAAUUAAUUGUACGACGGUUGUGUUUAUAUGUGCGACGUAGUAGGUCAAUAACGUCGUCUUCUAAUGUAUUUAAAGACGUCAUAUUUUUUAUUGUCGUGAAAAUUAUAUUUAACGUCGGCGUAUUUUUAUUGUCGUCGUUGUAUGUCUAUCUUGCGGCCUUGUUCUCUUAAUAUGUGUCAUAUUUUCCCUUUUUAACGACGGUCUUUUUAGAGAAUUGGUCAUCUAUUAUCAUCAUCGAUUGCUUUUUUUAGAUCUUUUUGCAGUACAAAGACGUCGUUUUGUAUUUUUUGAUGACGUUGUAUUGUUUAACAACGACGGUUAUUUAGCGUCGUGGUUUAUGAGGGAAAAGAUGACGGUGGAUUCCACGACCAUUGAAAAACCAAAUACACGACGGUGAUUUACCGUCGUCUUUUUGCUUUUUUGUAGUAGUGUUCUUUUUUUCUGCUAGAAAUAUGAAAAACAUCAAUGUCACUUGUACAAAGGAGGAAAAAAAGAAGUUUAACUUGCAUACUAGUGGAGGUCUUAGGUUCAAAUUUUUAUGGCACCUUCACAUUAUCGCUUUGCUUAUAUAAAAAAACAAAAACAAAAAAUCAGAAAUUAUGACUUGAUAACAACGUAACUUCCCCAUGUACAGAGAGGAUUGCCCCUUCGGUGCAUUUGACACUGACAGAAUCAAGUUUUUAUGAAAAAUUAGUUAUCAAACUUGGGUUAAAGAGAGAAAAAAUUACGGAAAGAUGUGCCAAAAUGAAAGUGCCAUUUUUUUUUUUUCCUUUCCAUUUAAUCAUACAACAAAUAGUGAGAUGUGAGAGUGAGUGCAAGCAAGGUUUUCAUCAAACAUUUUAAAGAAAUAAAAGCACACAACAGAAAAAUGAUACCAUCUAUGAGGGAGAGAGCAAUAAAAGAAGUUGAGUUCGAUGAUCAUUACGUACUUUACAGGAAGGUGAUUGUAAAUUUCCCAAUGACCAAGAUGAUUCAAAACCUUUAUGAUUGGUCUGUCGCUGUUAGGGAAAACAAAAGUAUAAAAUACUAAAAGAAGAAUAUGUAAUUGGCUUAUUUUCAUAAAUGUUGUUUACGAAAUUAUCACAUUUGAUACUUUACGAAAUUAUCCUGCAUAAAAUUAGUCCCUAUUGUGAGAUUCUGUAAAAAAAAUCUGUUAAAUUGAUGAUAUGGCAUGUAUUUGGAGUCCAUGUCUCCAAUAAUAGCAUGCCAUGUGGAUCUAAACCAAAAAAUUGUUUUGAAAAUGUUUAACUUCUCUCUCUCUCUCUCUCUCUCAGAUUUUUCAUGAAAUCUUUUAUAUAGAGGAUUUUUAUUUAUUUAUAAAAACGAUAUUCUACUUUAAUUUAAUCUAAACUAUAUGGAAGGGACUCGAACUCAAGUGCAUAGUGGGAAGCACAUCCACUAUAACAAACUUGGCUAAGCCCAUAUAUGCAAUCUUAAUUCACUGUAAUGGAAACAAAUAUGUACAAUCAAAAUCUCCACAUUGCAAGUUCUCUCUCUUUUUCCUUCUCUCCCUUUCUCUCCCUUUCUCCCCCCACCCCGAUCAUCCCCACAACCAUCGACAGACCCCGCACGACCCAACCUCAACAGAACCAAAAGCAACCACCCUGGCCACCAUGUUCCCCAACUCAGCCACACCCCAUAACCCACACCAUCCCCCGGCCCCACCCCACCCCACCCCAGACCCACAACCUAGGCCCUGCACCCAAAUACCUAUAUUUUUUUUUUCUUACUUUUUCAUUUUUUUUCCUAAUCCUUUCAAUUUUAAAUUUUUAAAACACAUAUAUAUUAUUUAAUUUCCACAUUAUUAUUGGACAUUUGGGUUCCACAUCAUCAGUUCAACAGAAUACUUGACAAAAUCUCACGGUAUGAAUCAAUUUAAUAAACCCAGGGUAACUUUAAGGACUAACUUUGUCACAAAAAACUUAAAGACCAAAGAUGAUAAUUUCGUGAACCACAAAAGCCCUUUGUGAAAAUAAGCCUAUAUAAUUUAAUAUCAAAUUACAAGGAUUGGAUACCAAUAAUUUGUAAUUUCAUAUGCAUACAGGGUUAUUUAUAACAACAUGAUGAAUAAUUUAGCUUGGAUGGAAGCAUGAAGCUCUGCCAAUAAAUACCUCAUAGAAUCAGUAAGGCCUUAAAUGUCGGUCAUUCCGGAAAUAUUAGCAGUCCCCAAAUGUAGAAAUUCCGACGAAAAAUAUGAAUAAAAAACAAUAGAAAUUGUUAGAAAAUUAAGAAAGCUUUGAAUGAAACUUUGAGUCAUGUUUAUAAAACUAAAUGUAAGUGAGAUGCAAUUUGAGCCAUCCAAAGUUCUAAGAUCCAACGUUCUAUAGUGUGUGUCGAAAAGUGUUACAAAAUGUGUCCCUCCGAUCCUAACUCAUUAAUUAAUGCAUAAAAAAUAUGGAAAUGAAAUGAUAACAGGAGUAUAAAAAAAAUUCGAAUGAAUUUGGGCACAUAACGAAGAAAAGAAAUUAAAGUAUAAACAAGGAUGAAAUUCUUUACCUCUCAAGAUGAAGUAGUAACAAAAUCGUCCGUAAAAUGUUGGAUUAUCCUAAGAAAUAUAUAAGAAUUGAGGAAUUAAUAUUAUCUUAAGAUAUAUCAUUCGUUUGAUAAUAUAUAAUAUAUAUCAUAAAAGUCAAGUGAUAGGUCCAUUGAGAAUGGAGAUUGGAGAUUAUGAAAGAAAGAAAAAAAAAAAAAUUAAGGAGCAAGUCUUACUGCUUUUUCCACAUCUCCAACCUCAUGCAAACAAUGUGGUAAUGGGUCCAUACAAAAAGCAUAAGGUUUUCCUGUAGAAGACUGAGUGCGUUUCAUCCUAAUGAGACAAUGCCAGCUGAAAAUCCAAUAAAAGAAUAAAUAAGAUUACCACUAGCUACUACAGCAAGAACAAAUAAGCUCAAAUCCAAUAAAUUAAUGCAACAUAUAUUAAUUCUUGCUAUCUUACUAUUAAAAGUUAACUUCAAUGUAAACUAAAAAGAAAUAAUAUGAACAUCCAUUAAAGAGUUAGUCAUACGAGAUCUCGAUCGAAUACCUGUCAGUUCUCAACGGUUUUGCCAAUGCUACGUCAACAAGAAACGAUUGCAGCGGUGAUAUAUUCGAGAUGUCCUUCUGAAAGUAGUCAAGCAGGCAACAUGCAUAAAUUAAAUAGAGAGAUGCAUCAAUUGCCUGUCUCCCUAAGAGAUGCCAGGAACUCAUCCUCGAAGAUGCGUUUUAUUGCAGCCAGCCGCUUCUUCAUCUUCAGCACGAAACAAAUCUUCCUCAAACUCAAAUGGUUGAAGACUAUUAAAUGAGUCUUGUGAUGACUAUGCUUCUUCCACUCAUGUGAGAAGACCUGACACUUGGUCAAUGCGUCGGUGAGGUCCAGGAGCACAGAUAUAAAGCGGCGGUAGUAAUCUUCCGUAAGUCUUCGCGUAUCUAUAUCUAUUACAAUAUCUUUGAUUGCUCCCAUAUCAGAAAUCAGAACAGCACCUGAUAAUUCAGAUUCUGUCUCCCUAAGAGAUGCCAGGAACUUAUUCCGGAGAAAUUGAGCAACAUCCCCUGCCAUUCUUCACCUUCAGCACUAUAUUUAUGUAUCUACUGCAAUUUUAAUCAGAAACUGUGGGGAUUUAUAUGAAGAGAACGUGACCACGCCUUGGCCUUUGUUCAGAGCUUUGAUCAAAGGACCUGGAUCUGUUAGUUGGAACAAAAGGUUAUGUCUCUAGUUCGAUCAUUUUCAUAUUCUUAGAUAUAAAAUUGAACUGAUUCUCUCACCGACGUUAUUCAUGCUCAGCAUCAAAUAACUGUUUAAAAAGUAGAAUGAGCCGCUAGGGGAAUCAUAUAUAUUUUUCGUUUGCCAUAGUUCUUUGCGUGCAUGAGUAUAAUGAGCGUUUUCUUUUCUUUUUCCCUUUUUAUUGUUCGCGUUUUGUUAAUCAGUUUCAGUUAUUCCAAUUACAGGUAGCACUUUGUGAAGCUACACGACGACAAGUCCUGAAAUUAACGCAAAAUUGGCAGGUUUAUGUUUACCAUGUUGUCUCACAUGAACUCGAAUGUGACAUAAUAUAAAGGUCAAAACCAUAUGUUGGCAAGUUUGUGAAGUUGAUAUGACCCGUUUAUAUAUAUUUUUUUUGGGCAAUAGUUUAUAUGACACGUUUAACCAGUAUUAUAAUUAUACGAAGAUGAUGAAGCUUUUGUAUUAUCGGACUUGUAUCGGUGAAUAAGAAACUGUCACAUUAUUAGUUGGUAACAAAAAGUUUGUGUCUCUAGUAGAAGCGCAAAUUUUGAUUCAGAAUCCACAUUGUGCCAUUUGGACUAGUUUUUCUUUUAAUUUUUUGAGUUUCAGCUAUAAAACCGAACUGAGGAGUUUAACCAUACUUACCGAAUAUUUGUUCUUUAAAUAAAACACAUAUUUUGUCAUGGUAUCCUGGUCCUUCACACACCAUCUUAUGUUCAUUGAGAUUAAGACUGAUCGAAAAGAAUGGGGAAUCAGACAUAUUUUUCUUUUAUCAUUGUUCUUUGCUUCCAGGACUACCAAGGAGUAUAUGUAAUGAGCCUUUUCUUUUCUCCUUUUCUUUUGUCUUUGCUUCCAGGACUACCAAGGAGUAUAUGUAAUGAGCUUUUUCUUUUCUCCUCUCCUUUUCUUUUGUCUUUGCUUCCAGGACUACCAAGGAGUAUAUAUAUAUGUGAUGAGCUUUUUCUUUUCUCCUUUUCUUUUAUCUAUCCUUCAGGAGAUGUCUCCAAGAGUAAUAGUAAAAACCUUUGUUAAGUAAUAGUUGCUUUUGUUAAUCCAAUUUGCAGAUUCCAAUUAGAGGUUAAUUUUGUGAAUGUUCGAAUUAACAGGCAGAAAUACCACCAAGGCCCGACAAUGCAAGCUGGGCGAGCAAUAGUAAAAGGAAUUUUACAAAUGUUCCCAGAUAUCAAGGGCAGAGCACUCUGGACUUUGCCAAUAAAUUCAGAAGAAUGAGAACUCAUUCAGGACAGACAAACAAAAUUAAAAAAAUUUAAUCUGGCAAAUUUUUAUCUAAAAUUUUAAAUUUUAAAAGAAUUUGUUUCUUUACUUUUGUUUUUUGGCCUACUUCUUUAAUUAAAUAUACGUAAUUGAGCAAUAUCUUAGCCUAAUACUUAUAUUUUAAUUAUUAUUUAACAUAAGAAAUUAAAGAAAAAGUCCACAAAAUAAUUAAUUUAUAUUUAUUAAGUCUUUUGUGAAAUCGUUUGGGCGUCUUAAUUAAAUUUCUCCAUAGCUCAAGAGCCCUAUCCGUUAGUAUUAGCCCAUUACUCGAGUAUCUUUUGAGCCCUUUUUUAUUUUUUACUUUUUCAAAGUUAUUACCCGUAAAAAGAUUUUAGCCCUUUCACGUUUAAUAUUGUAUUAUACACGUACGCAUGUAUUUCUCAUGUUUGAUACACUCAGUUUUUUACAAGAAUUUCAAUAAGACACAAAAUUCACGUAUUAUACACAUAAUUCUAACAUAUUAUUGAAAAAAAUGAUAAUAUGUACUUAAAAAAAUCUCAGUUUUUCCCUAAUUGUUUUUUUAAAGUAGUAUCGCCGUGCGGCUGUACUCGUCUUUUCAAAUUUUUUAAUUUAAAAAAAGUACAGCCGCCGUCUGUGCUUGUUUGACACGUGGCGCAUAGGCGCUGGGCAGUUGUAUAAAGAGUAUAGCCGCCCGGCUAUACUAGAUUCUUUCUGAAUUUUCUUUUUAAAAAUAGUAUAGCACUCGCCAAAUUUAUUUAUUUUUAAAUAGUAUAGCUCUGACACGUGGCACCCGUCCGUCCUUUUUUUAUACAUCAAUAGUAUAGCCGCACGGCUAUACUAUUUAAAAGGAAAAUUUAAUCUGGGAAAUUUUUUCUGAAAUUUUUAAAUAUAAAAGAAUUUGUUUCUUUACCUUUGUUUCUUGGCCUACUUCUUUAAUUAAAUAUAUGUAAUUGAGCAAUAUCUUAACCUUUUUGAAUUACUUUAAUUAGUACUUAUAUUUCAAUUACUAUUUAAUAUAAGAAAUUAAAGAAAAAGUCUACAAAAUAAUUAAUUUGUGGGUGUUUUAAUUAAAUUUCUCCAUAGCCCAAGAGCCCUAUCCGUUAGUAUUAGCCCAUUACUCGAGUAUCUUCUGAGCCCUUUUUUAUUUUUUACUUUUUCAAAGUUAUUACCCGUAUAAAGAUUUUAGCCCUUUCACGUUUAAUAUUGUAUUAUACACGUACGCAUGUAUUUCUCAUGUUUAAUACACUCAUUUUUUUACAUGAAUUUCAAUAAGACACAAAAUUCACGUAUUAUAUACAUAAUUCUAACAUAUUAUUGAAAAAAAUUAUAAUACGUAUUUUAAAAAAAAUCUCAGUUUUUCACUAAUUGUUUUUUUAAAAUAGUAUAGCCGUGCGGCUAUACUCGUCGUUUCAAAUUUUUUAAUUAAAAAUAGUACAGCCGCCCGUCUGUACCUGUUUGACACGUGGGGCAGUUGUACAAAGCGUAUAGCCGCACGGCUAUACUAGAUUCUUGCUGAAUUUUCUUUUUAAAAAAAGUAUAGCCGUGCAGCUAUACUCGCCAAAUUUAUUUUUUUUAAAUAGUGUAGCUCUGCCACGUGGCACCCGUGCGUCCUUUUUUAUCAUCAACAGUAUAGCCGCACGGCUAUACUAUCUAAAAAGAAAAUUUAAUCUGGGAAAUUUUUUCUAAAAUUUUUAAAUAUAAAAGAAUUUGUUUCUUUACCUUUGUUUCUUGGCCUACUUCUUUAAUUAAAUAUAUGUAAUUGAGCAAUAUCUUAGCCUUUUUGAAUUACUUUAAUUAGUACUUAUAUUUCAAUGACUAUUUAAUAUAAGAAAUUAAAGAAAAAGUCCACAAAAUAAUUACUUUGGGGUGUUUUAAUUAAAUUUCUCCAUAGCCCAAGAGCCCUAUCCGUUAGUAUUAGCCCAUUACUCGAGUAUCCUUUUAGCCCUUUUUUAUUUUUUACUUUUUCAAAGUUAUUACCCGUAUAAAGAUUUUAGCCCUUUCACGUUUAAUAUUGUAUUAUACACGUACACACGUAUUUCUCAUGUUUGAUACACUCAUUUUUUCACAAGAAUUUCAAUAAGACACAAAAUUCACGUAUUAUACACAUAAUUCUAACAUAUUAUUGAAAAAAAUAAUACUAUGUAUUUAAAAAAAUCUCAGUUUUUCCAUAAUUAAUUUUUAAAAUAGUAUAGCCGUGCGCCUAUAUCGUCUUUUCAAAUUUUUUAAUUAAAAAUAGUACAGCCGCCCGUCUGUACCUGUUUGACACGUGGCGCAUAGGCGCUGGGCAGUUGUGUAAAGAGUAUAGCCGCCCGGCUCGACUAGAUUAAUUCUGAAUUUUCUUUCAAAAUAGUAUAGCCGUGGGGCUAUACUCGCCAAAUUUAUUUUUUUAAAUAGUACAGCUCUGACACGUGGCACCUGUGCGUCCUUAAAGAAAAUUUAAUCUGGCAAUUUUUUUUCUAAAAUUUUUAAAUAUAAAAGAAUUUGUUUCAUUACCUUUGUUUUUUGGCCUACUUCUUUAAUUAAAUAUAUGUAAUUGAGAAAUAUCUUAGCCUUUUUGAAUUACUUUAAUUGGUACUUAUGUUUUAAUUAUUAUUUAAUAUAAGAAAUUAAAGAAAAAGUCCACAAAAUAAUUAAUUUCUGGGUGGUUUAAUUAAAUUUCUCCAUAGCCCAAGAGCCCUAUCCAUUAGUAUUAGCCCAUUACUCGAGUAUCUUUUGAGCCCUUUUUUAUUUUUUACUUUUUCAAAGUUAUUACUCGUAUAAAGAUUUUAUCCCUUUCACGUUUAAUAAUGUAUUAUGCACGUACGUAUGUAUUUCUCAUGUUUAAUACACUCAUUUUUUUACAAGAAUUUCAAUAAGACACAAAAUUCACGUAUUAUACACAUAAUUCUAACAUAUUAUUGAAUAAAUCAUAAUAUGUAUUUAAAAAAAUCUCAGUUUUUCCCUAAAAUAGUAUAGCCGUGCGGCUAUACUCGUGUUUUCAAAAAGUUUCACUAAAAAUAGUACAGCCGCCCGUCUGUACCUAUUUGACACGUGCAGUUGUAUAAAGAGUAUAGCCGCCCGGCGGUACUAGAUUAAUUCUGAAUUUUCUUUAAAAAAUAGUAGAGCCGGGCGGCUAUACGCGCCAAAUUUAUUUUUUAAAAUAGUACAGCUCUGACACGUGGCACCUGUGCGUCCUUUUUUUAAUAUAUAAAUAGUAUAGCCGCACGGCUAUACUAUUUGAAAAGAAAAUUUAAUCUGGGAAUUGUUUUCUAAAAUUUUUAAAUAUAAAAGAAUUUGUUUCUUUACCUUUGUUUUUUGGCCUACUUCUUUAAUUAAAUAUAUGUAAUUGAGCAAUAUCUUAGCCUUUUUGAAUUACUUUAAUUGGUACUUAUAUUUUAAUUAUUAUUUCAUAUAAGAAAUUAAAGAAAAAGUCCACAAAAUAAUUAAUUUAUGGGUGUUUUAAUUAAAUUUCUCCAUAGCCCAAGAGCCUUAUCCGUUAGUAUUAGCCCAUUACUCGAGUAUCUUUUGAGCCCUUUUUUAUUUUUAACUUUUCCAAAGUUAUUACUCGUGUAAAGAUUUUAUCCCUUUCACGUUUAAUAAUGUAUUAUGCACGUACGUAUGCAUUUCUCAUGACUCAUUUUUUUACAAGAAUUUCAGUAAGACACAAAAUUCACGUAUUAUACACAUAAUUCUAACAUAUUAUUGAAAAAAUCAUAAUAUGUAUUUAAAAAAAUCUCAGUUUUUCCCAAAAAUAGUAUAGCCGUGCGUCUGUACCUGUUUGACACGUGGCGCAUGGGCGCUGGGCAGUUGUAUAAAGAGUAUAGCCGCCCGGCUGUACUGGAUUAAUUCUGAAUUUUCUUUAAAAAUAGUAUAGCCGUCGGGCUAUACUCGCCAAAUUUAUUUUUUUAAAUAGUACAGCUCUGACACGUGGCACCUGUGCGUCCUUUUUUUAAUAUAUAAAUAGUAUAGCCGCACGGCUAUACUAUUUGAAAAGAAAAUUUAAUCUGGGAAUUUUUUAAAGAAUUUGUUUCUUUACCUUUGUUUUUUGGCUUACUUCUUUAAUUAAAUAUAUGUAAUUGAGCAAUAUCUUAGCCUUUUUGAAUUACUUUAAUUGGUACUUAUAUUUUAAUUAUUGUUUAAUAUUAGAAAUUAAAGAAAAAGUCCACAAAAUAAUUAAUUUAUGGGUGUUUUAAUUAAAUUUCUCCAUAGCCCAAGAGCCCUAUCCGUUAGUAUUAGCCCAUUACUCGAGUAUCUUUUGAGCCCUUUUUUAUUUUUUACUUUUCCAAAGUUAUUACUCAUAUAAAGAUUUUAUCCCUUUCACGUUUAAUAAUGUAUUAUGCACGUACGUAUGUAUUUCUCAUGACUCAUUUUUUUACAAGAAUUUCAAUAAGACACAAAAUUCACGUAUUAUACACAUAAUUCCAACAUAUUAUUGAAAAAAUCAUAAUAUGUAUUUAAAAAAAUCUCAGUUUUUCCCUAAAAUAGUAUAGCCGUGCGGCGAUACUCGUGUUUUCAAAAAUUUUCACUAAAAAUAGUACAGCCGCCCGUCUGUACCUGUUUGACACGUGGCGCAUGGGCGCUGGGCAGUUGUAUAAAGAGUAUAGCCGCCCGGCUGUACGGGAUUAAUUCUGAAUUUUCUUUAAAAAUAGUAUAGCCGUGCGGCUAUACUCGCCAAAUUUAUUUUUUUAAAUAGUACAGCUCUGACACGUGGCACCUGUGCGUCCUUUUUUUAAUAUAUAAAUAGUAUAGCCGCACGGCUAUACUAUUUGAAAAGAAAAUUUAAUCUGGGAAUUUUUUUCUAAAAUUUUUAAAUAUAAAAGAAUUUGUUUCUUUACCUUUGUUUUUUGGCCUACUUCUUUAAUUAAAUAUAUGUAAUUGAGCAAUAUCUUAGCCUUUUUGAAUUACUUUAAUUAGUACUUAUAUUUCAAUGACUAUUUAAUAUAAGAAAUUAAAGAAAAAGUCUACAAAAUAAUUAAUUUGUGGGUGUUUUAAUUAAAUUUCUCCAUAGCCCAAGAGCCCUAUCCGUUAGUAUUAGCCCAUUACUCGAGUAUCUUCUGAGCCCUUUUUUAUUUUUUACUUUUUCAAAGUUAUUACCCGUAAAAAGAUUUUAGCCCUUUCACGUUUAAUAUUGUAUUAUACACGUACGCAUGUAUUUCUCAUGUUUGAUACACUCAGUUUUUUACAAGAAUUUCAAUAAGACACAAAAUUCACGUAUUAUACACGUAAUUCUAACAUAUUAUUGAAAAAAAUGAUAAUAUGUACUUAAAACAAUCUCAGUUUUUCCCUAAUUGUUUUUUUAAAGUAGUAUCGCCGUGCGGCUAUACUCGUCUUUUCAAAUUUUUUAAUUUAAAAAAAGUACAGCCGCCGUCUGUACUUGUUUGACACGUGGCGCAUAGGCGCUGGGCAGUUGUAUAAAGAGUAUAGCCGCCCGGCUAUACUAGAUUCUUUCUGAAUUUUCUUUUUAAAAAUAGUAUAGCACUCGCCAAAUUUAUUUAUUUUUAAAUAGUAUAGCUCUGACACGUGGCACCCGUCCGUCCUUUUUUUAUACAUCAAUAGUAUAGCCGCACGGCUAUACUAUUUAAAAGGAAAAUUUAAUCUGGGAAUUGUUUUCUAAAAUUUUUAAAUAUAAAAGAAUUUGUUUCUUUACCUUUGUUUUUUGGCCUACUUCUUUAAUUAAAUAUAUGUAAUUGAGCAAUAUCUUAGCCUUUUUGAAUUACUUUAAUUGGUACUUAUAUUUUAAUUAUUAUUUAAUAUAAGAAAUUAAAGAAAAAGUCCACAAAAUAAUUAAUUUAUGGGUGUUUUAAUUAAAUUUCUCCAUAGCCCAAGAGCCUUAUCCGUUAGUAUUAGCCCAUUACUCGAGUAUCUGUUGAGCCCUUUUUUAUUUUUUACUUUUCCAAAGUUAUUACUCGUAUAAAGAUUUUAUCCCUUUCACGUUUAAUAAUGUAUUAUGCACGUACGUAUGCAUUUCUCAUGACUCACUUUUUUACAAGAAUUUCAGUAAGACACAAAAUUCACGUAUUAUACACAUAACUCUAACAUAUGAUUGAAAAAAUCAUAAUAUGUAUUGAAAAAAAUCUCAGUUUUUCCCUAAAAUAGUAUAGCCGUUUGGCUAUACUCGUGUUUUCAAAAUUUUUAACUAAAAAUAGUACAGCCGCCCGUCUGUACCUGUUUGACACGUGGCGCAUGGGCGCUGGGCAGUUGUAUAAAGAGUAUAGCCGCCCGGCUGUACUGGAUUAAUUCUGAAUUUUCUUUAAAAAUAGUAUAGCUGUGGGGCUAUACUCGCCAAAUUUAUUUUUUUAAAUAGUACAGCUCUGACACGUGGCACCUGUGCGUCCUUUUUUUAAUAUAUAAAUAGUAUAGCCGCACGGCUAUACUAUUUGAAAAGAAAAUUUAAUCUGGGAAUUUUUUAAAGAAUUUGUUUCUUUACCUUUGUUUUUUGGCUUACUUCUUUAAUUAAAUAUAUGUAAUUGAGCAAUAUCUUAGCCUUUUUGAAUUACUUUAAUUGGUACUUAUAUUUUAAUUAUUAUUUAAUAUUAGAAAUUAAAGAAAAAGUCCACAAAAUAAUUAAUUUAUGGGUGUUUUAAUUAAAUUUCUCCAUAGCCCAAGAGCCCUAUCCGUUAGUAUUAGCCCAUUACUCGAGUAUCUUUUGAGCCCUUUUUUAUUUUUUACUUUUCCAAAGUUAUUACUCAUAUAAAGAUUUUAUCCCUUUCACGUUUAAUAAUGUAUUAUGCACGUACGUAUGUAUUUCUCAUGACUCAUUUUUUUACAAGAAUUUCAAUAAGACACAUAAUUCCAACAUAUUAUUGAAAAAAUCAUAAUAUGUAUUUAAAAAAAUCUCAGUUUUUCCCUAAAAUAGUAUAGCCGUGCGGCUAUACUCGUGUUUUCAAAAAUUUUCACUAAAAAUAGUACAGCCGCCCGUCUGUACCUAUUUGACACGUGCAGUUGUAUAAAGAGUAUAGCCGCCCGGCGGUACUAGAUUAAUUCUGAAUUUUCUUUAAAAAAUAGUAGAGCCGGGCGGCUAUACGCGCCAAAUUUAUUUUUUAAAAUAGUACAGCUCUGACACGUGGCACCUGUGCGUCCUUUUUUUAAUAUAUAAAUAGUAUAGCCGCACGGCUAUACUAUUUGAAAAGAAAAUUUAAUCUGGGAAUUGUUUUCUAAAAUUUUUAAAUAUAAAAGAAUUUGUUUCUUUACCUUUGUUUUUUGGCCUACUUCUUUAAUUAAAUAUAUGUAAUUGAGCAAUAUCUUAGCCUUUUUGAAUUACUUUAAUUAGUACUUAUAUUUCAAUGACUAUUUAAUAUAAGAAAUUAAAGAAAAAGUCUACAAAAUAAUUAAUUUGUGGGUGUUUUAAUUAAAUUUCUCCAUAGCCCAAGAGCCCUAUCCGUUAGUAUUAGCCCAUUACUCGAGUAUCUUCUGAGCCCUUUUUUUGUUUUUUACUUUUUCAAAGUUAUUACCCGUAAAAAGAUUUUAGCCCUUUCACGUUUAAUAUUGUAUUAUACACGUACGCAUGUAUUUCUCAUGUUUGAUACACUCAGUUUUUUACAAGAAUUUCAAUAAGACACAAAAUUCACGUAUUAUACACGUAAUUCUAACAUAUUAUUGAAAAAAAUGAUAAUAUGUACUUAAAACAAUCUCAGUUUUUCCCUAAUUGUUUUUUUAAAGUAGUAUCGCCGUGCGGCUAUACUCGUCUUUUCAAAUUUUUUAAUUUAAAAAAAGUACAGCCGCCGUCUGUACUUGUUUGACACGUGGCGCAUAGGCGCUGGGCAGUUGUAUAAAGAGUAUAGCCGCCCGGCUAUACUAGAUUCUUUCUGAAUUUUCUUUUUAAAAAUAGUAUAGCACUCGCCAAAUUUAUUUAUUUUUAAAUAGUAUAGCUCUGACACGUGGCACCCGUCCGUCCUUUUUUUAUACAUCAAUAGUAUAGCCGCACGGCUAUACUAUUUAAAAGGAAAAUUUAAUCUGGGAAUUGUUUUCUAAAAUUUUUAAAUAUAAAAGAAUUUGUUUCUUUACCUUUGUUUUUUGGCCUACUUCUUUAAUUAAAUAUAUGUAAUUGAGCAAUAUCUUAGCCUUUUUGAAUUACUUUAAUUGGUACUUAUAUUUUAAUUAUUAUUUAAUAUAAGAAAUUAAAGAAAAAGUCCACAAAAUAAUUAAUUUAUGGGUGUUUUAAUUAAAUUUCUCCAUAGCCCAAGAGCCUUAUCCGUUAGUAUUAGCCCAUUACUCGAGUAUCUUUUGAGCCCUUUUUUAUUUUUUACUUUUCCAAAGUUAUUACUCGUAUAAAGAUUUUAUCCCUUUCACGUUUAAUAAUGUAUUAUGCACGUACGUAUGCAUUUCUCAUGACUCAUUUUUUUACAAGAAUUUCAGUAAGACACAAAAUUCACGUAUUAUACACAUAAUUCUAACAUAUUAUUGAAAAAAUCAUAAUAUGUAUUUAAAAAAAUCUCAGUUUUUCCCAAAAAUAGUAUAGCCGUGCGUCUGUACCUGUUUGACACGUGGCGCAUGGGCGCUGGGCAGUUGUAUAAAGAGUAUAGCCGCCCGGCUGUACUGGAUUAAUUCUGAAUUUUCUUUAAAAAUAGUAUAGCUGUGGGGCUAUACUCGCCAAAUUUAUUUUUUUAAAUAGUACAGCUCUGACACGUGGCACCUGUGCGUCCUUUUUUUAAUAUAUAAAUAGUAUAGCCGCACGGCUAUACUAUUUGAAAAGAAAAUUUAAUCUGGGAAUUUUUUAAAGAAUUUGUUUCUUUACCUUUGUUUUUUGGCUUACUUCUUUAAUUAAAUAUAUGUAAUUGAGCAAUAUCUUAGCCUUUUUGAAUUACUUUAAUUGGUACUUAUAUUUUAAUUAUUAUUUAAUAUUAGAAAUUAAAGAAAAAGUCCACAAAAUAAUUAAUUUAUGGGUGUUUUAAUUAAAUUUCUCCAUAGCCCAAGAGCCCUAUCCGUUAGUAUUAGCCCAUUACUCGAGUAUCUUUUGAGCCCUUUUUUAUUUUUUUUUUCCAAAGUUAUUACUCGUAUAAAGAUUUUAUCCCUUUCACGUUUAAUAAUGUAUUAUGCACGUACGUAUGUAUUUCUCAUGACUCAUUUUUUUACAAGAAUUUCAAUAAGACACAAAAUUCAAGUAUUAUACACAUAAUUCCAACAUAUUAUUGAAAAAAUCAUAAUAUGUAUUUAAAAAAAUCUCAGUUUUUCCCUCAAAUAGUAUAGCCGUGCGGCUAUACUCGUGUUUUCAAAAUUUUUAACUAAAAAUAGUACAGCCGCCCGUCUGUACCUGUUUGACACGUGGCGCAUGGGCGCUGGGCAGUUGUGUAAAGCGUAUAGCCCCCCGGCUGUACUGGAUUAAUUCUGAAUCUUCUUUAAAAAAUAGUAUAGCCGUGCGGCUAUACUCGCCACAUUAAUUUUUUUAAAUAGUACAGCUCUGACACGUGGCACCUGUGCGUCCUUUUUUUAAUAUAUAAAUAGUAUAGCCGCACGGCUAUACUAUUUGAAAAGAAAAUUUAAUCUGGGAAUUUUUUUCUAAAAUUUUUAAAUAUAAAAGAAUUUGUUUCUUUACCUUUGUUUUUUGGCCUACUUCUUUAAUUAAAUAUAAGUAAUUGAGCAAUAUCUUAGCCUUUUUGAAUUACUUUAAUUGGUACUUAUAUUUUCAUUAUUAUUUAAUAUAAGAAAUUAAAGAAAAAGUCCACAAAAUAAUUAAUUUAUGGGUGUUUUAAUUAAAUUUCUCCAUAGCCCAAGAGCCUUAUCCGUUAGUAUUAGCCCAUUACUCGAGUAUCUUUGAGCCCUUUUUUAUUUUUUACUUUUCCAAGUUAUUACACGUAUAAGGAUUUUAUCCCUUCACGUUAAUAUGUAUUAUGCACGUACGUANNNNNNNNNNNNNNNNNNNNNNNNNNNNNNNNNNNNNNNNNNNNNNNNNNNNNNNNNNNNNNNNNNNNNNNNNNNNNNNNNNNNNNNNNNNNNNNNNNNNNNNNNNNNNNNNNNNNNNNNNNNNNNNNNNNNNNNNNNNNNNNNNNNNNNNNNNNNNNNNNNNNNNNNNNNNNNNNNNNNNNNNNNNNNNNNNNNNNNNNNNNNNNNNNNNNNNNNNNNNNNNNNNNNNNNNNNNNNNNNNNNNNNNNNNNNNNNNNNNNNNNNNNNNNNNNNNNNNNNNNNNNNNNNNNNNNNNNNNNNNNNNNNNNNNNNNNNNNNNNNNNNNNNNNNNNNNNNNNNNNNNNNNNNNNNNNNNNNNNNNNNNNNNNNNNNNNNNNNNNNNNNNNNNNNNNNNNNNNNNNNNNNNNNNNNNNNNNNNNNNNNNNNNNNNNNNNNNAUUUAAUCUGGGAAUUUUUUUCUAAAAUUUUAAAAUAUAAAAGAAUUUGUUUCUUUACGUUUGUUUUUUGGCCUAACUUUCUUUAAUUAAAAUAUAAGUAAUUGAGCAAUAUCUUAGCCUUUUUGAAUUACUUUAAUUGGUACUUAUAUUUUCAUUAUUAUUUAAUAUAAGAAAUUAAAGAAAAAGUCCACAAAAUAAUUAAUUUAUGGGUGUUUUAAUUAAAUUUCUCCAUAGCCCAAGAGCCUUAUCCGUUAGUAUUAGCCCAUUACUCGAGUAUCUUUUGAGCCCUUUUUUAUUUUUUACUUUUCCAAAGUUAUUACACGUAUAAAGAUUUUAUCCCUUUCACGUUUAAUAAUGUAUUAUGCACGUACGUAUGUAUUUCUCAUGACUCAUUUUUUUACAAGAAUUUCAAUAAGACACAAAAUUCACGUAUUAUACACAUAAUUCCAACAUAUUAUUGAAAAAAUCAUAAUAUGUAUUCAAAAAAAUCUCAGUUUUUCCCUAAAAUAGUAUAGCCGUGCGGCUAUACUCGUGUUUUCAAAAAUUUUAACUAAAAAUAGUACAGCCGCCCGUCUGUACCUGUUUGACACGUGGCGCAUGGGCGCUGGGCAGUUAUAUAAAGAGUAUAGCCGCCCGGCUGUACUGGAUUAAUUCUGAAUUUUCUUUAUAAAAUAGUAUAGCCGUGCGGCUAUACUCGCCACAUUUAUUUUUUUAAAUAGUACAGCUCUGACACGUGGCACCUGUUCGACCUUUUUUUAAUAUAUAAAUAGUAUAGCCGCACGGCUAUACUAUUUGAAAAGAAAAUUUAAUCUGGGAAUUUUUUUCUAAAAUUUUUAAAUAUAAAAGAAUUUGUUUCUUUACCUUUGUUUUUUGGCCUACUUCUUUAAUUAAAUAUAUGUAAUUGAGCAAUAUCUUAGCCUUUUUGAAUUACUUUAAUUGGUACUUAUAUUUUAAUUAUUAUUUAAUAUAAGAAAUUAAAGAAAAAGUCCACAAAAUAAUUAAUUUAUGGGUGUUUUAAUUAAAUUUCUCCAUAGCCCAAGAGCCCUAUCCGUUAGUAUUAGCCCAUUACUCGAGUAUCUUUUGAGCCCUUUUUUAUUUUUUCUUUUCCAAAGUUAUUACUCGUAUAAAGAUUUUAUCCCUUUCACGUUUAAUAAUGUAUUAUGCACGUACGUAUGUAUUUCUCAUGACUCAUUUUUUUACAAGAAUUUCAAUAAGACACAAAAUUCAAGUAUUAUACACAUAAUUCCAACAUAUUAUUGAAAAAAUCAUAAUAUGUAUUUAAAAAAAUCUCAGUUUUUCCCUCAAAUAGUAUAGCCGUGCGGCUAUACUCGUGUUUUCAAAAUUUUUAACUAAAAAUAGUACAGCCGCCCGUCUGUACCUGUUUGACACGUGGCGCAGUGGGCGCUGGGCAGUUGUGUAAAGCGUAUCGCCGCCCGGCUGUACUGNNNNNNNNNNNNNNNNNNNNNNNNNNNNNNNNNNNNNNNNNNNNNNNNNNNNNNNNNNNNNNNNNNNNNNNNNNNNNNNNNNNNNNNNNNNNNNNNNNNNCAUUAAUUUUUUUAAAUAGUACAGCUCUGACACGUGGCACCUGUGCGUCCUUUUUUUUAAUAUAUAAAUAGUAUAGCCGCACGGCUAUACUAUUUGAAAAGAAAAUUUAAUCUGGGAAUUUUUUUCUAAAAUUUUUAAAUAUAAAAGAAUUUGUUUCUUUACGUUUGUUUUUUGGCCUACUUCUUUAAUUAAAUAUAAGUAAUUGAGCAAUAUCUUAGCCUUUUUGAAUUACUUUAAUUGGUACUUAUAUUUUCAUUAUUAUUUAAUAUAAGAAAUUAAAGAAAAAGUCCACAAAAUAAUUAAUUUAUGGGUGUUUUAAUUAAAUUUCUCCAUAGCCCAAGAGCCCUAUCCGUUAGUAUUAGCCCAUUACUCGAGUAUCUUUUGAGCCCUUUUUUAUUUUUUACUUUUCCAAAGUUAUUACUCGUAUAAAGAUUUUAUCCCUUUCACGUUUAAUAAUGUAUUAUGCACGUACGUAUGUAUUUCUCAUGACUCAUUUUUUUACAAGAAUUUCAAUAAGACACAAAAUUCACGUAUUAUACACAUAAUUCCAACAUAUUAUUGAAAAAAUCAUAAUAUGUAUUUAAAAAAAUCUCAGUUCUUCCUUAUAAUAGUAGCGCCGUGCGGCUAUAGUCGUGUUCUUUAUAUUUUAACUAAAAAAUAGUACAUCCGCCCGUCUGUACCUGUUUGACACGUGGCGCAUGGGCGCUGGGCAGUUGGUAUAAAGAGUAUAGCCGCCCGGCUGUACUGGAUUAAUCUGAAAUUUUCUUUAAAAAAUAGUAUAGCCGUGCGGCUAUACUCGCCACAUUUAUUUUUUUAAAUAGUACAGCUCUGACACGUGGCACCUGUGCUACCUUUUUUUAAUAUAUAAAUAGUAUAGCCGCACGGCUAUACUAUUUGAAAAGAAAAUUUAAUCUGGGAAUUUUUUUCUAAAAUUUUUAAAUAUAAAAGAAUUUGUUUCUUUACCUUUGUUUUUUGGCCUACUUCUUUAAUUAAAUAUAUGUAAUUGAGCAAUAUCUUAGCCUUUUUGAAUUACUUUAAUUGUUUCUUAUAUUUUAAUUAUUAUUUAAUAUAAGAAAUUAAAGAAAAAGUCCACAAAAUAAUUAAUUUAUGGGUGUUUUAAUUAAAUUUCUCCAUAGCCCAAGAGCCCUAUCCGUUAGUAUUAGCCCAUUACUCGAGUAUCUUUUGAGCCCUUUUUUAUUUUUUACUUUUCCAAAGUUAUUACUCGUAUAAAGAUUUUAUCCCUUUCACGUUUAAUAAUGUAUUAUGCACGUACGUAUUUAUUUCUCAUGACUCAUUUUUUUACAAGAAUUUCAAUAAGACACAAAAUUCACGUAUUAUACACAUAAUUCUAACAUAUUAUUGAAAAAAUCAUAAUAUGUAUUUAAAAAAAUCUCAGUUUUUCCCUAAAAUAGUAUAGCCGUUUGGCUAUACUCGUGUUUUCAAAAUUUUUAACUAAAAAUAGUACAGCCGCCCGUCUGUACCUGUUUGACACGUGGCGCAUGGGCGCUGGGCAGUUGUAUAAAGAGUAUAGCCGCCCGGCCGUACUGGAUUAAUUCUGAAUUUUCUUUACAAAAUAGUAUAGCCGUGCGGCUAUACUCGCCAAAUUUAUGUUUUUAAAUAGUACAGCUCUGACACGUGGCACCUGUGCGUCCUUUUUUAAAUAUAUAAAUAGUAUAGCCGCACGGCUAUACUAUUUGAAAAGAAAAUUUAAUCUGGGAAUUUUUUUCUAAAAUUUUUAAAUAUAAAAGAAUUUGUUUCUUUACCUUUGUUUUUGGCCUACUUCUUUAAUUAAAUAUAUGUAAUUGAGCAAUAUCUUAGCCUUUUUGAAUUACUUUAAUUGAUACUUAUAUUUUAAUUAUUAUUUAAUAUAAGAAAUUAAAGAAAAAGUCCACAAAAUAAUUAAUUUAUGGGUGUUUUAAUUAAAUUUCUCAAUAGCCCAAGAGCCCUAUCCGUUAGUAUUAGCCCAUUACUCGAGUAUCUUUUGAGCCCUUUUUUAUUUUUUACUUUUCCAAAGUUAUUACUCGUAUAAAGAUUUUAUCCCUUUCACGUUUAAUAAUGUAUUAUGCACGUACGUAUGUAUUUCUCAUGACUCAUUUUUUUUACAAGAAUUUCAAUAAGACACAAAAUUCACGUAUUAUCCACUUAUUUCCAACAUAUUAUUGAAAAAAAUCAUAAUAGGUAUUUAAAAAAAUCUCAGUUAUUCCCUAAAAUAGUAUAGCCGUGCGGCUAUACCCGUGUUUUCAAAAAUUUUAACUAAAAAUAGUACAGCCGCCCGUCUGUACCUGUUUGACACGUGGCGCAUGGGCGCUGGGCAGUUGUAUAAAGAGUAUAGCCGCCCGGCUGUACUGGAUUAAUUCUGAAUUUUCUUUAAAAAAUAGUAUAGCCGUGCGGCUAUACUCGCCACAUUUAUUUUUUUAAAUAGUACAGCUCUGACACGUGGCACCUGUGCGACCUUUUUUUAAUAUAUAAAUAGUAUAGCCGCACGGCUAUACUAUUUGAAAAGAAAAUUUAAUCUGGGAAUUUUUUUCUAAAAUUUUUAAAUAUAAAAGAAUUUGUUUCUUUACCUUUGUUUUUUGGCCUACUUCUUUAAUUAAAUAUAUGUAAUUGAGCAAUAUCUUAGCCUUUUUGAAUUACUUUAAUUGUUACUUAUAUUUUAAUUAUUAUUUAAUAUAAGAAAUUAAAGAAAAAGUCCACAAAAUAAUUAAUUUAUGGGUGUUUUAAUUAAAUUUCUCCAUAGCCCAAGAGCCCUAUCCGUUAGUAUUAGCCCAUUACUCGAGUAUCUUUUGAGCCCUUUUUUAUUUUUUACUUUUCCAAAGUUAUUACUCGUAUAAAGAUUUUAUCCCUUUCACGUUUAAUCUAUAUAUAUAAAGCAAAAGGCAGAGAAUGGUGAAACAUUCAAAAUACCAGAAAAUGCCCUUGGUUAAUGCAAACAUUCAGAAUUCAAAUUAUUAAUUAAAUGAGGAUAAAAUGAUAAAUUCAUACUUUUUCAUAUUUAAAAAAAUUAAAAAAAGAAAAAGAAAAAGCAGAUAAUGGAUCCUAUUUUUAUGGAACACAACUAUCCAUUAUCUUUUUUAAUUCUAAAAUAAAUUUACUUUUUUUUUUUUUUAAAAACCUCUCGCAAGCGCGGAAGCGCGUGCAGAGAGGCUAGUAUAUAUAAAGCAAAAGGCAGAGAAUGGUGAAACAUUCACAAUACCAGAAAAUGCCCUUGGUUAAUGCAAAUAUUAAGAUUUCAAAUUAUUAAUUAAAUGAGGAUAAUAUGGUAAAUUCACACUUUUUCAUAUUUAAAAAAAUUAAAAAAAAAAGAAAAAACAGAUAAUGGAUCCUAUUUUUAUGGAACACGACUACCCAUUAUCUUUUUUAAUUCUAAAAUAAAUUUACUUAUUUUUUUUAAAAAACCUCUCGCAAGCGCGGAAGCGCGUGCAGAGAGGCUAGUAAUGUAUUAUGCACGUACGUAUGUAUUUCUCAUGACUCAUUUUUUUCCAAGAAUUUCAGUAAGACACAAAAUUCACGUAUUAUACACAUAAUUCUAACAUAUUAUUGAAAAAAUCAUAAUGUGUAUUUAAAAAAAUCUCAGUUUUUCCCUAAAAUAGUAUAGCCGUGCGGCUAUACUCGUGUUUUCAAAAUUUUUAACUAAAAAUAGUACAGCCGCCCGUCGGUACCUGUUUGACACGUGGCGCAUGGGCGCUGGGCAGUUGUAUAAAGCGUAUAGCCGCCCGGCUGUACUGGAUGAAUUCUGAAUUUUCUUUAAAAAUAGUAUAGCCGUGCGGCUAUACUCGCCAAAUUUAUUUUUUUAAAUAGUACAGCUCUGACACGUGGCACCUGUGCGUCCUUUUUUUAAUAUAUAAAUAGUAUAGCCGCACGCCUAUACUAUUUGAAAAGAAAAUUUAAUCCGGGAAUUUUUUUCUAAAAUUUUUAAAUAUAAAAGAAUUUGUUUCUUUACCUUUGUUUUUGGCCUACUUCUUUAAUUAAAUAUAUGUAAUUGAGCAAUAUCUUAGCCUUUUUGAAUUACUUUAAUUGGUACUUAUGUUUUAAUUAUUAUUUAAUAUAAGAAAUUAAAGAAAAAGUCCACAAAAUAAUUAAUUUAUGGGUGUUUUAAUUAAAUUUCUCCAUAGCCCAAGAGCCCUAUCCGUUAGUAUUAGCCCAUUACUCGAGUAUCUUUUGAGCCCUUUUUUAUUUUUUACUUUUCCAAAGUUAUUACUCGUAUAAAGAUUUUAUCCCUUUCACGUUUAAUAAUGUAUUAUGCACGUACGUAUGUAUUCUCAUGACUCAUUUUUUUUACAAGAAUUUCAAUAAGACACAAAAGUCCCGUAUUUAUAAUUCAACUAAAUUAUAAAAAAAAUCAUAAUAUGUAUACAAAAAAAUUCUCAGUUUUCCCUUAUAUAGUAUAACCGUGCAGGCCAUAGUAGUGUUCCAAUAAAUUUUAACUAAAAUAGUACAGAAACGUGUCUGUACCUGUUUGACACGUGGCGCAUGUGCGCUGGGCAGGUAGAUCAAGUGUAUAGCCGCCCGACUGGCCCGGAUUAAUUAUGAAUUUUCUUUAUAAAAUAUUAUAGCCGAGCGGCUAUACUCGCCACAUUAAUUUUUUUAAAAUAAUACAGCUUUUACCGUGGCACCUGUUCGAUCUUUUUUUUAUAUAUAAAUAGUAUAGCCGCACGGCUAUACUAUUUGAAAAGAAAAUUUAAUCUGGGAAUUUUUUUCUAAAAUUUUUAAAUAUAAAAGAAUUUGUUUCUUUACCUUUGUUUUUUGGCCUACUUCUUUAAUUAAAUAUAUGUAAUUGAGCAAUAUCUUAGCCUUUUUGAAUUACUUUAAUUGGUACUUAUAUUUUAAUUAUUAUUUAAUAUAAGAAAUUAAAGAAAAAGUCCACAAAAUAAUUAAUUUAUGGGUGUUUUAAUUAAAUUUCUCCAUAGCCCAAGAGCCCUAUCCGUUAGUAUUAGCCCAUUACUCGAGUAUCUUUUGAGCCCUUUUUUAUUUUUUACUUUUCCAAAGUUAUUACUCGUAUAAAGAUUUUAUCCCUUUCACGUUUAAUAAUGUAUUAUGCACGUACGUAUGUAUUUCUCAUGACUCAUUUUUUUACAAGAAUUUCAAUAAGACACAAAAUUCACGUAUUAUACACAUAAUUCCAACAUAUUAUUGAAAAAAUCAUAAUAUGUAUUUAAAAAAAUCUCAGUUUUUCCUUAAAAUAGUAUCGCCGUGCGGCUAUACUCGUGUUUUCAAAAAUUUUAACUAAAAAUAGUACAGCCGCCCGUCUGUACCUGUUUGACACGUGGCGCAUGGGCGCUGGGCAGUUGUAUAAAGAGUAUAGCCGCCCGGCUGUACUGGAUUAAUUCUGAAUUUUCUUUAAAAAAUAGUAUAGCCGUGCGGCUAUACUCGCCAAAUUUAUUUUUUUAAAUAGUACAGCUCUGACACGUGGCACCUGUGCGUCCUUUUUUUAAUAUAUAAAUAGUAUAGCCGCACGCCUAUACUAUUUGAAAAGAAAAUUUAAUCCGGGAAUUUUUUUCUAAAAUUUUUAAAUAUAAAAGAAUUUGUUUCUUUACCUUUGUUUUUGGCCUACUUCUUUAAUUAAAUAUAUGUAAUUGAGCAAUAUCUUAGCCUUUUUGAAUUACUUUAAUUGGUACUUAUGUUUUAAUUAUUAUUUAAUAUAAGAAAUUAAAGAAAAAGUCCACAAAAUAAUUAAUUUAUGGGUGUUUUAAUUAAAUUUCUCCAUAGCCCAAGAGCCCUAUCCGUUAGUAUUAGCCCAUUACUCGAGUAUCUUUUGAGCCCUUUUUUAUUUUUUACUUUUCCAAAGUUAUUACUCGUAUAAAGAUUUUAUCCCUUUCACGUUUAAUAAUGUAUUAUGCACGUACGUAUGUAUUUCUCAUGACUCAUUUUUUUUACAAGAAUUUCAAUAAGACACAAAAGUCACGUAUUAUACACAUAAUUCCAACAUAUUAUUGAAAAAAUCAUAAUAUGUAUUUAAAAAAAUCUCAGUUUUUCCCUAAAAUAGUAUAGCCGUGCGGCUAUUCGCGUGUUUUCAAAAAUUUUAACUAAAAAUAGUAGAGCCGCCCGUCUGUACCUGUUUGACACGUGGCGCAUGGGCGCUGGGCAGUUGUAUAAAGAGUAUAGCCGCCCGGCUGUACUGGAUUAAUUCUGAAUUUUCUUUAAAAAAUAGUAUAGCUGUGCGGCUAUACUCGCCACAUUUAUUUUUUUAAAUAGUACAGCUCUGACACGUGGCACCUGUGCGACCAUUUUUUAAUAUAUAAAUUAGUAUAGCCGCACGGCUAUACUUAUUUGAAAAGAAAUUUAUUCUGGAAAUUUUUUCCUAAAAUUUUUAAAUAUAAAAGAAUUUGUUUCUUUNNNNNNNNNNNNNNNNNNNNNNNNNNNNNNNNNNNNNNNNNNNNNNNNNNNNNNNNNNNNNNNNNNNNNNNNNNNNNNNNNNNNNNNNNNNNNNNNNNNNNNNNNNNNNNNNNNNNNNNNNNNNNNNNNNNNNNNNNNNNNNNNNNNNNNNNNNNNNNNNNNNNUUUCUCCAUAGCCCAAGAGCCCUAUCAGUUAGUAAUAGGCCCCAUUACUCGAGUAUCUUUUGAGCCCUUUUUUAUUUUUUACUUUUCCAAAGUUAUUACUCGUAUAAAGAUUUUAUCCCUUUCACGUUUAAUAAUGUAUUAUGCACGUACGUAUGUAUUUCUCAUGACUCAUUUUUUUACAAGAAUUUCAAUAAGACACAAAAUUCACGUAUUAUACACAUAAUUCUAACAUAUUAUUGAAAAAAUCAUAAUAUGUAUUUAAAAAAAUCUCAGUUUUUCCCUAAAAUAGUAUAGCCGUUUGGCUAUACUCGUGUUUUCAAAAUUUUUAACUAAAAAUAGUACAGCCGCCCGUCUGUACCUGUUUGACACGUGGCGCAUGGGCGCUGGGCAGUUGUAUAAAGAGUAUAGCCGCCCGGCCGUACUGGAUUAAUUCUGAAUUUUCUUUACAAAAUAGUAUAGCCGUGCGGCUAUACUCGCCAAAUUUAUGUUUUUAAAUAGUACAGCUCUGACACGUGGCACCUGUGCGUCCUUUUUUAAAUAUAUAAAUAGUAUAGCCGCACGGCUAUACUAUUUGAAAAGAAAAUUUAAUCUGGGAAUUUUUUUCUAAAAUUUUUAAAUAUAAAAGAAUUUGUUUCUUUACCUUUGUUUUUGGCCUACUUCUUUAAUUAAAUAUAUGUAAUUGAGCAAUAUCUUAGCCUUUUUGAAUUACUUUAAUUGAUACUUAUAUUUUAAUUAUUAUUUAAUAUAAGAAAUUAAAGAAAAAGUCCACAAAAUAAUUAAUUUAUGGGUGUUUUAAUUAAAUUUCUCAAUAGCCCAAGAGCCCUAUCCGUUAGUAUUAGCCCAUUACUCGAGUAUCUUUUGAGCCCUUUUUUAUUUUUUACUUUUCCAAAGUUAUUACUCGUAUAAAGAUUUUAUCCCUUUCACGUUUAAUAAUGUAUUAUGCACGUACGUAUGUAUUUCUCAUGACUCAUUUUUUUACAAGAAUUUCAGUAAGACACAAAAUUCACGUAUUAUACACAUAAUUCUAACAUAUUAUUGAAAAAAUCAUAAUAUGUAUUUAAAAAAAUCUCAGUUUUUCCCUAAAAUAGUAUAGCCGUGCGGCUAUACUCGUGUUUUCAAAAUUUUUAACUAAAAAUAGUACAGCCGCCCGUCGGUACCUGUUUGACACGUGGCGCAUGGGCGCUGGGCAGUUGUAUAAAGAGUAUAGCCGCCCGGCUGUACUGGAUUAAUUCUGAAUUUUCUUUAAAAAAUAGUAUAGCCGUGCGGCUAUACUCGCCAAAUUUAUUUUUUUAAAUAGUACAGCUCUGACACGUGGCACCUGUGCGUCCUUUUUUUAAUAUAUAAAUAGUAUAGCCGCACGGCUAUACUAUUUGAAAAGAAAAUUUAAUCUGGGAAUUUUUUUGUAAAAUUUUUAAAUAUAAAAGAAUUUGUUUCUUUACCUUUGUUUUUUGGCCUACUUCUUUAAUUAAAUAUAUGUAAUUGAGCAAUAUCUUAGCCUUUUUGAAUUACUUUAAUUGGUACUUAUAUUUUAAUUAUUAUUUAAUAUAAGAAAUUAAAGAAAAAGUCCACAAAAUAAUUAAUUUAUGGGUGUUUUAAUUAAAUUUCUCCAUAGCCCAAGAGCCCUAUCCGUUAGUAUUAGCCCAUUAUUCGAGUAUCUUUUGAGCCCUUUUUUAUUUUUUACUUUUCCAAAGUCAUUACUCGUAUAAAGAUUUUAUCCCUUUCACGUUUAAUAAUGUAUUAUGCACGUACGUAUGUAUUUCUCAUGUUUAAUACACUCAUUUUUUUACAAGAAUUUCAAUAAGACACAAAAUUCACGUAUUAUACACAUAAUUCUAACAUAUUAUUGAAAAAAUCAUAAUAUGUAUUUAAAAAAAUCUCAGUUUUUCCCUAAAAUAGUAUAGCCGUGUAGCUAUACUCGUGUUUUCAAAAUUUUUGACUAAAAAUAGUACAGCCGCCCGGCUGUACCGACAAAAAAAUAAUUGGGUUUAAUUUAAAUAAUAAUCGGGUUUAAUUUAUUAGUUAUAUGUAUUAAUUAACCAGUGACCCAACUAAGUAGGCAUUUACCCGAAGGGUAUACCCACAAACCACUCAAUUGGGCCACUUGCAUAGCCAAUACAAACUAUUCUAUUUCCAAGAGUAAGUCUUAUAAAAACCUCCCGGAAACUCUAGUAUUCCAAUGUGGGAACUCAAACAUGUUUGCAAUGCCUCUCAAAACUAACAAAACUAUAAAUUACGUUACUGCACACAUUAUUUGUCGUAGAGAAUUGUUGUUCUGGUUGGCAAAGAGAUUGCAAAAUCACCAACUUGCAUUUUUGUUACAAGCAGGUAGAAUGAAAAACCCUGAAUUUAUCACCCAAAUUUCCUCAAUUCUCAAGAAACAGGACCACUUGGUCGUGGUAUAAUUACUAAAACUUAUGAUUUUCCUUUCAUGGCAGAAUACAAAGAGCUCUCAUCUGAUCAGUCCCGAAACUUAUGUCGAUGUACCCUGGCAGAAUACAAAGAGCAUUAAGAGUAAUAGAUUGUUUUAUUUUGUCUGGGAAAGGAAAACUCAAACAUACCUUCUUUUGAUCAUUGGUGAAUCAUAGGCAGUUAGGCUUUUGGCCUGUAAAUGAAUCUAGUAGUGUUGUUUCAAAAUUAUGAUUUCCAUCUGCACUAUGCAGGUUAUUAUGAAGGCUUAAACAUUUGACAGCAUGGGAAGAAAAAUCUACAUGCAAUCCAAGUGCAUAUCUCACCACUCCCUCCCUGGGAUGUGACCAGAACAAAAUUUCAAAGUACAGGGAUCAGCCUUGAGGUAUCAGUUCUGUUUUGUGGUUAUACAAUAUUUACUAUUCAAUAAUUAAUUUCCUUCGAUUUUUGUUCUGGUUUUUGAAUUGAAUUAUUGUGUAGUAAAUAUCAGCGUAUUCAUGAAGAAAAACCAUGGCACCAUAAUUUUUUGUUUAAUAAGUUUCAUAUUAUAACUAGCUUACAGCAAAGCAAGAAAUUAGAGAUGAUAGCAAGGCUCAAUAGCCUCUAGGCUCUACAUUUUGUAGGUUAUUAAGAACAACAACAAACCUAAUAAGAAGGCUCAUGAAGAACCAUCAGGACAGCACCUGGCCUUUUCUUUAUAGAACUUGAUUCACUAAAUUGUCUAAGUUUGCGUAUGAAGAACCAUCAGGACUGAUGGCCUUCUCUGCUAGUUUCUUCCAUUCCAUAGCCUUAGUUCUCAUUUUCUUACCCUUCUCUCCCUCCACUAACUCUUUAAUGAGCUUCUCUACUUGGUCUCUCUAGGCAUCAUUAUUGAUCUCCAACCCAAUGCCCCAUUCAUUGCAAGUAUAAACACAAUUUAUUCGCUGUUCGGCAAAGAAUGGCCAACAAUGCAUAGGAACUCCUGCAGAAAGACUCUCAAUGGUUGAGUUCCAACCACUGUGUGUUAAGAAUCCUCCAAUUGAUGGGUGGCUAAGGACUUGCUCUUGUGGGCACCAGCCUGCUACCAAACCUCUUCCCUUAGUUUCAGCUACAAACUCAGGUGGCAAAAUCGCCGAUUCACCAACUAACGAUCAGGUCUCACUACCCAGAAGAAGGGAAACUUGCUAUUUGCAAGUCCCCAACAAAACUCAAUAAGAUCUUUUGACUUUAUGACCACUAUGCUGCCAAAGUUGACAUAAACAACCGAGUUUGGCAGCUUAGCAUUGAGCCAUUGGAACCAUUCAGUUUCUUCUUUCCAUAGACUAUAUUCCAUGGACUUCAAAGGGUGUUGUGGUAUCUGAUUGAGAAGUAACUGGAGAGGGCCAAUGGUAUAAACAGGUGGAGGCAUUGAUGAGAGAGCAUGCAAAACAUCUGCCUCCAACUCAUCAAAAGUAUGAAGAACAACUGCUGAAGCUUUAUCAACUCUGUCCAUUGCUUCCAAGGUUAAUUUAAACAAGAUGUCAUUGGGGUUUGUAGUUUGAAAGUAAUUUGGGAGAUCCUUUAAACGAAUAGCUUUCGUUCCGGGAACCCAAUCUAUGACCUGGUCCAAAAAGCCAUUUGUUAAAUAGCUCUCAUCUGCAACACCCAAGUCAAGAAAAAUUUCAUCAUCAUUUUUUAAAAGAACAACAAGAAGUUAAGCAAAAAGUUGCUCAACUGCUUCAAUAUUAUGAAUACUUCUUUCACCUUUGAGUGGGGCAAGUCCUUUCUCUGCCAAAGUGGGAUAUUGCUUAAAGCCCAUGAAUCCAAUUGCAGCAAUAGUAAAGAACAGUGCAACAGGGAUUCCAAGUUCUUCAGCAGCUGUGAUGCUGAAAGUCAUGAAACCAUCUGAAACAAUGCAAGUCACUGGAGGAUUACUAAUAUUGUUAGAAGUUGCCAUGUCAUGGAGUUUUAAAAGGAGGUUACGAAAUACUGCCAAGAAAUUUUUUCUGAUGGAAUCGCAAAGCAAAUAGGCGUUUUGGCUGCAUCCUCAUCUGAAGCUGGAAGACCAUCUGGAAUGGUUUCGAAUUGAAAAUCAGGCAAGCCAUCGAGGGAGUUAGGUCCAAGAGAUUUAAGAAAGCGUCAGUGGUUGAACUCUGUGUUAACAAAGGUUAUAUGAAAACCUCUAUGGUGUAGGAGCUUUAAUAAUUUCAGCAUUGCCUUUAUAUGGCUUUGAAUUGCAAAGGGAAUGCAUACAGCAUGAGGCUUAUUGCCUUGUACUUCAAUGGAGCUCAUCUUAGAUUGUGUGUACAGUCAGUGUAUGCACAUAUGAACAAUAUUUGCACUCACAACACAAAUGCAGUAAAACUUUAUAGUUCUAACAACAUUUUCGUCCUUAUCAAACACCAGUUUAGGUCCAAUCUCAUGUCAUAUUCAAUUCAAGAAAACAACAAAUCUUGCAAAUCCGAAACUCAAGCAACCGAGGAAAAACAAGGCAACAAACCACUUGAGCACGACUCUUUUCCCUUAUACUAGCCAUGCAAAGAUAGAGGAGAGAUAGAGGACCACCACCACCAUUUUAUAGUAAUUUUGUUGUCACCAUCCAUUUUUUUUCAAUAGCGGCUAAAAUAUUUUUGUCAGAAUCUUCAGCUCAUUGGGACAAAUUUUUUAUUUUUUUAUUUGAUUUUUUAUGUUUGGUGUUAAGACAAAGUCAAGAACCACCAACUAACAAAUAAUAUAGAAAAAAACAGCAAAUGGCAGACAACCUCAAAGCACCAAGAGAUAUCAUUAAAUAUAUAUGACGAUCACCAUUAUUUGUUUGAAUUAUGUAACAUGUGCUUGUUUGUAACUAUAAAAACGUAAUCAAUCAAAAGCUACAAAGAAAGCCACAUGAAAAUAUUAAAAAAUGAAACGAGGGCAUACAAAUUUAGGUCCUAUCUCAUAUUAUAUUCAAGAAAACAACUAAUCUUGCAAAGCCAAUCCAAAACUCAACCAAUCAAGAAAAAACCACUUGAGCACGAAUCUGUUCUCCUUUCCUAGUCAUUGGAUUCCGAGCUUUUGCAUUUAGGGUGUGUAUUUAAUUGGGAUUUUAAAAGAUUAUUUUGGGAUAAAUAAGUCUUGUGGUAUUCAAUUAAAACUUUUAAAUGAUCUAAACAAGUCUUGUGGUUUCCAUUAAGACUAUUAGGAUUUUUAAAAGAGAGUGGCCAAAUCUAGUGGUAUUCAAUCAAGACUUUAAACAAGUAACAAAAAGUUUUAUGGUAUUCAAAACUUGCUAAUUUCGAGAGUUUUUUUUUUUAAAUGUGGAAUUCUGUGAGAUUUUUUAGUGGGAAGUAUAAAUACCAAACCAUAUCUCAAAUCCCACCCUAACCCAUCAAAUUUUUCAUGUGAGAGUUUUUUUGUCCUUUCUUCCUUCAAAACGUGUUGUUUGUUGCCAGUAAUACCAAUAACAUGGUGUGGAGCUAAACUUAUGAUUUUCCUUCUUCCUUUCAUGAGAACUCUCAUCUGAUCAGUCUCGAAUUUUUUUUACUUUUUAUUUGAAGGGUUGCAACAGUGGAGGCAGAUCACUUAAAAAUUGUGUUGAUAUUCUCAAUGAAGUAAGUUUUUCUAGUACUGGCCUGCCUUUGUUUAUCAGUUAAUUAUAGGCUUAUUUACUAUAGAACCUCCUGAAACUUCAGUCAAAUCUCAGUUAAUCCCCCCAAAGUUAAAAUGGCCCACUUAACCCCCUUGACCUUGGUUUUGUAUUCCACUCCCCCCACCCCACCGUUAACGCCAUCCAAAAGACAGUAAAAACAAAGCUGAUGUGGCAGGGGUAUAUUAUGGUAAAAGCACCCACAAUGGCCAAUUGCUGACCGUAGUCAGCAUCCUACAUGGCAUAGUGGACUCCACAGGCGUUGAAAAUCCUAAUCUAAGUGACUGAAUAGGGUGAAGCGGACCCCAGAUAACAAUAUUUUCUCUUCUUCUUCGAUAAUAGAGUUUCUAAACCCAGAAAAAUCACUUCCCACCAUUUGAAGGAUUUGAGGUUCCCCAGAGAAAAAUCUCUUAAUCUUUCUUCGAUUAAAGGGUGUAAAGAUGAGGAAAAAACCUCCACGAGGAGAAGAGCUGGCCAUUGCUGCACCUCAUUGCUAUUGUGGGAGGCUUGCUAGGCUGCAGACUUCUUGGACAGAGUCCAACCCAUUUCGGAGGUUAUUUGUGUGUCCAAAGUCAAAGGUAGGUUUUGAAUUUGCUAUUUUAUCAAAAAUUGGACAAAAAAUUGUGAGAAUGUGAUGGAAUUGUUGUUUGAAUGCAGAGGGGGAAAAACGAUUGUGGGUUUUUUUUAUGGGUUGAUAUUGAAAUGCAUCCCCGUGAGAGAGCUGUGAUGGCUUGGCUGCUGAGGAAAAAGAGAGAAGUUGAAGAUCAUAUUGGGCGUGCGAGAGCAAGAGAGAAGAAGUUGUGGAUUGCUCUGUUUAUUUCUUAGGCCUUUGUGUUUAUGGUUUGGUUUGGCAAUGUUGUGUAAUGUAAGUUAGGCAAUUGGUAUGUUUGAAAGUUAGGCAAUGUGGUAUGUGUGAAAGUUAGGUAAUGUUGUGUAAUGUACCUAGUUGAAUGGCAAUUUAGGGAGAUGAGAGUCUUAUGUAAAGGCUGUAGCAUUUUUGCAAAUGUAAUGGUUUCAAAGCCCUUUUGUAAUGGUUAAGACUAAACACUUUUAUAAGCACCACUAAUUCUUGAAAGCUUUUCAACUGCCAUUGAUUAAUAACUUUGUACAUAAAUUGUACAUAGUCUUGUACAUAACUCAAAAGACUUUCUAAGCACAUGUUUAAACAAUGGCAAGGCCAAAACAAAAUACGUGUACACUGAAUAUGCACCUAUUUAAUCCAUGACAAUGCCAAAUAAUUUGUAUCCAAAAACAAAGUAGACAAUAAAAUACCAAACAGACAGUUUCUACCCAAAAACAUAUAUGUUCACCAAGACACAACAAAACAUCAAAAUAGAGGAGAGAUUUUCAAUAUCUCCAUAGCUUAAACUUUGCCAAGAAGCCUUUCUUCUUAGUUGGAGACUUAAACCUAAAUUUGUUAAAUAACCCGCACACUAGAUCUUGUUCUUUGAUGUAACCAACGGCAAUAGACUAAACUAGCAAAUUGAGAAAACUUAGAAACACACAGUUGUGAUUUCUCUAGGUAGAGAAAUCACUGCUUCUUUGAUUAAUAAUAGAGAUUACUGAACUUUUUCAACCCUAGAACUAAUCUCAAAACUCUCGACUGUCUCUGGCUGUUUUUUCUCUCUAAAAUAAGCCCUGCCGCACCCUAUUUAUAGAUAUAGAGUUGGCUUACAUGUCCCAAGGUGGAUUGAAUUCCUAUUCCUAAGUGGAUUAGGAAAUUACACUUAUCCAAAUCCUAAUAGACUUCUAGAAAUCCAAACCAAAAUUGAAUAAGGAAAACUGAAAUUCUUUCCUAAUCCCUCUAGGACAAGAAUUGGUAUACCUCUAAUUUUCCUAAAACAAUCCUAAACCAACUAGGACAUAUUUGACGAGCCAAAAUCCUAACAAUCUCCACCUUGGUGAGUCAAACCAAGUCUUGAUCGUUGCACCCCAAAGUAUCUUUGAACCUCCUUGAAGCAGCUCUAGAAAUCUUCAAGAGUCUUCACCUUGGUAAUCUUCUUCUUGCCUCAUUGCACCUCAAGUGAGGAGGUGCUCUACUUUAAUCAAUCAACUAGAUUGAUCAAGUUCAAGCAAUGCUUGAACUUCUUGGCUAGCACUAUCUUUGUAAGGAAAUCUGUGGCGUUGUCAUCCGUAUGACUCUUUUCAAUCCAAAUCUCCUUAGACUCCACCCAAUUUCUGAUUUUGUGAUAUCUUGCUUCAAUGUGCUUUGAUCUUCCAGAAAAAACUUGAUUCUUUGCCAGGUGAAUGGCACUUUGACUAUCACACUUUAGCUUCACACAAUCUUGGGUGAUUCCCAUUUGACUUACCAAGCCAUUAAGCCAAAUUGCUUCCUUUCUAGCUUCGGCCAAUGCAAUAUACUCUGCCUCUGUGGUCGACAAAGCUGUAAUUGGUUGUAGUCAUGCCUUCCAACUGAUCGGUCCUCCUGCGCAUGUAAACACAUAACCAGAAGUUAACCUUCUCUUGUCCGAGUCCCUUGCAUAAUUAGCAUCCACAUAUCCCAACACCCUUGCAUUUUCUUUUUGCUUCUCAAACAUAAUCCUUUGUCGCCAAGAACCCUUCAAACAACACAAAAUCCACUUGACUACAUCCCAAUGUUGCUUUCCUGGAUUUGCCACGUAUCUGAAAACGACACUGAUUGCUUGAGCUAUGUCGGGACGUAUGCAUACCAUUGCAUACAUAAGGCAGCCCACGACAUUAACAUAAGACAUCUUCUUCAUUACUUGCUGCUCUUCCUCGAACUUAGGACACUGUUGCCCACUUACCUUGAAAUUAGCUGCCAAAGGAGUCGAAACUACCUUUGCUUCUUGCAUGUUGAACUUCUCAAGAACCUUCUGAAUAUAAUUGGCUUGUGAUAUCCAUAUCCUUCCAGCGGUCAUAUCUCUCUGAAUUUCCAUGCCAAGGAUCUUCUAUGUUGCACCUAGAUCCUUCAUGUCGAACUCCUCGCUCAACAUCUUCUUCAAGUCUUGAAUUCUAGACUUGUCUUGACAAGUGAUUAGCAUGUCAUCCACAUAUAGCAAUAGAAAUAUGAUCAUCCCAUGUUGGAAUACAUGAUAGUACACGCAACAGUCAUAUAAACAUCUUCUAAAAUUGAUUUUCAGCAUGAAGUAAUCGAACCUCUUGUACCACUGUCUUGGAGACUGUUUUAGGCCAUAUAAGGACUUCCUUAGCUGACAUACUAGGUUUUCUUUCCCAUAUUCAACAAACCCUUCUGGUUGAGCCAUGAAAAUUGUCUUAUCUAGAUCCUCAUGAAGAAACACUUUCUUCACAUCCAUCUGCUCAAUCUCCAUGUCAUGCUGAGUUGCCAUUGCUAAAAGCAAUUUGAUAGAAGUAUGCUUGACUACGGGUGAAAAGAUCUCAUCAUAAUCCACCCAUUCCUUUUGUGAGUACCCUUUAUCCACGAGCCUUGCUUUGAAUCUCACGGCAUCUUGUUCAUGUAGUCAUUCCUUUUUCCUAAAUACCUACUUGCAUCCAACUAGCUUUCUGCCUUUGGCUUAGGAACCAACUCCCAAACAGAGUUCUUGUAAAAAGACUCCAUUUCUUCUGUCAUAGCACUUAUCCAACUAUCUCGCUCAUCACUUGCUAUAGCUUCUCGAUAAGUAGUUGGAUCUUCUUGACUAAUGUUGAGAGCAUAAUUAACUUCAUCUAGGUUAAACCCAAACCUGUCAGGUUUCUUCUUGUUCCGAUUAGGUUUGUCCAGUGCUAUGCAUCUCUGGAAUACAGGUGGAUUGUUGGUUGGAGUUCGAACCCUUUGGGAUAUCUGGAGGAUUAUAGUGCCUUCAAUCUGCCCUGUUUCUUGCUCCACCUGAUUCUUAACUGGUGAACAAUGUUGAUGCUCUUCUUCUUCCUCAAAACCAUCAGAUUCGACAUCUUGCUCAAUUUGCUCCACCUGAGCUUCUUCUUCAUCUGAACUGAUUAACGGAAUCUUUGUUGCUUCAAUUUCAGCAUCGUAUUUCUUAUCCCUACUGCUCUCGACUUUAUUCAGAGGCAUGGUUGUCUUAUCAAAGACAACAUCUCGGCUAACAACUUUUUUCCUGUUGUUGAUAUCCCAAAGCUUGAAACCCUUCACUUCUUUCUCAAAACCUAAGAAUAUGCAAUGUGUAGACUUUGGUUUGAGCUUGGACCUUUCAUCACUUGGAAUAUGUGCGUAAGUACUACAGCCGAAUACCCUGAGCUUGGAAUAGUCCACCGGCUUCUCAUACCAUACCUCUUCUGCACUCUUAAAACCGAUAACUGUAGAUGGUGAUCUAUUAAUCAAAUAACUUGCAUGAUUAACAGCCUCUGCCCAAAAAAUAUUGGGCAAUCCUGUAUGAAAUCGCAUGCUCCUCUCUCUCUCACUCUCUCUCCUCUCUCUCUCUCCAUGAGAGUUCGGUUCAUCCUCUCAACAGCUUCAUUUUUGUUGGGGAUUCUUCUUUACCGUGAAGUGCCUUAUGAUGCCUUCUUGCUUGCGGUAAUCGGUAAACUCAUUACUUGUAUAUUCACCUCCAUUGUCACUUCUCAGGUACUUGAUCUUUCUUUUAGUUUGAUUCUCGGUUUCUGUUUUCCAUUCCUUGAACUUUGCAAAAACCUCAGAUUUCUGCUUCAUGAAAUAAACCCAAACCUUCCUAGAAAAAUCAUCCAUGAAAGUAACAAAAUACAUGGCUCCACCAUUUGAUUUGGUUGGUACAAGGCCCCAAUCUGAGUGAAUAUAACUGAGCUGCUCCUUGCUUCGGUUAUCUGCACUGAUACUCGUGAAUGAUACCUUUCUUUGUUUUCCAAGAACACAAUAUUCACAAAAGUCUAGUUUGCAAGAUGACACGCCUUCUAACAGGCCUUGCUUGUGUAAUUCUUACAACCCUUUCUGGCUUAUGUGCCCGAGCUUAUGAUGCCAAAGUUCAGUCUUGUCUUCUAUACCUUGAUUUACAGAAACAGCUGCUCCCUCAACUAUAGUGGUCCCAAUUAACUUAUACAGCUUAUUGGGUUUUACGUCACCCCGCAUUACCACCAAUGAUCCUUUGGCUACCCUGAGUCUUCCCUUUUUAGACUCGUACCCAUAGCCGGCCUCAUCUAAAGUACCCAAGGAAAUCAAAUUCUUUCUUAGUCUAGGGACAUAUCUAACGUUCCCCAAAACUCGUAUCAUCCCAUCAAACAUUCUGAUUCGAACAGUGUCGAUUCCUUUAACAGGACAUGAAGAAUCGUCCCCCAUUAAAACUUCCUCGCUGUUGACUUCUUUGUAAGUAUCGAACCAUUCUCUUACUGCACACAUAUGAAAAGUGCAUCCGGUAUCCAAAAUCCAAUUUGUGAAAGCCUUGGAGCCUAAUGUUACUGAAAGAAGCUCCCCAUCACUCUCAUUCUCGGUGACUACACUAGCUGAACCUGAGCUUUCUUCCCUCUUGGCUUUCUUCUCUUUCCAAAUCUUGCAGUUCCUCUUCCAAUGAUUGGUUGAACCACAUUCGAAGCAACCUUCCUUCUUUUCCUUUUUCUUCUUAGAUUUUGACCUACCUCUGUUGCCUGUUUUCUCUUUCUUUGUCUUUUUCCUCCCCCUCUCCUUGCCUUUGGCAUAAAGGCCUUGAGAUCUUUCAAUUAUAUCAUCUAGUUUAGCUUAUGACUGAAGAGCUUGAAUUACGUCUUCAAGCUUCAGGGACUCUUUUCCAAACAUUAGAGUUGUUCGAAAGUGCUUGAAAGACGAAGGUAGAGACUUCAGCAAGAUGAUAGCCAUAUCAUCAUCUUUGUAAGUUUCUUGGACCUUUUGAAGAUUAGUUAUGCAAUUUUGGAACUUGCAUACGUGAUCUUCAAUAUCACCUCAUUCUUCCAGUCGAAGUCCGAAUAGUUCAUCCUUGAGAAAAAGUUUAUUGGACACGAUUUUUCCAUAUAAACAUUCUCCAACUUUUCCCAUGCUUCAUGGGCAGUCAUCUUUUCGGUGACGUGUGACCGAACUGAUCUUGUGAGAUGGAUCUCGAUGGAACUCUUGGCCUUCUUGAGAACCUUAGUCCAUGCUGCGUCUUUCAUGCUUGCUAGUUUCUCAUCGUUGAGUGCAUCAUCCAAAUCUUGUUGUAUCAGUAUGUUCUUCAUCAUCAUUUGCCAGUCCGUGAAGUUAUCCUUGCCGUCAAAGGGCUUUAACGCAGGUCCUAGAUCCGCAUUCAUCUUCCCUUUAGACAUCAUAAAACCCCUUGAGCCAAGCUCUGAUACCAAUUGUUAAAUAACCUGCACACUAGAUCUUGUUCUUUGAUGUAACCAACGACAAUAGACUAAAUUGGAAAAUUGAGAAAACUUAGAAACACACAAGAAUUAUACUGGUUCGGCAUAAAUUUUGCCUCCAUCCAAUUGUGAUUUCUCUAGGUAGAGAAAUCACCGCUCCUUUGAUUAAUAAUAGAGAUUACAGAACUUUUGCAACCCUAGAACUAAUCUCAAAACUGUUGGCUAUCUCUGGCUGUUUUUCCUCUCUAAAAUAAGCCAUGUCGCACCCUAUUUAUAUAUAGAGAGUUGGCUUACAUGUCCCAAGGCUGAUUGAAUUUCUAUUCCUAAGUGGAUUAGGAAAUUACACUUAUCCAAAUCCUAAUAGAUUUCUAGAAAUCCAAACCUAAAUUGAAUAAGGAAAACUGAAAUUCUUUCCUAAUCCCUCUAGGACAAGAAUUGGUAUACCUCUAAUUUUUCUAAAAUAAUCCUAAACCAACUAGGACAUAUUUGACGAGCCAAAAUCCUAACAAACUUUCCUUUGUGAGGAAACUUGUAAAGGCCGAAACGAAUUUGGUUCUUAGGAUUGGGAGGCUUGUUCAAACAGAGCAGCUUGUGAUGCUUGUUCAAAUUGAGAAGCUUGAGAGGCUUGUUCAAACUGAGAAGCUUGAGAGGCUUGUUCAAACUGAGAUGCUUGAGAUGGUUGUUCAAACUGAGAUGCUUGAGAUGGUUGUUCAAACUGAGAAGCUUGAGAUGGUUGAGCUGGUUGGUGAGAUGGUUGAGGAGCUUGGUUAGACUGAGAAGAUGCUUGGUGAUGAUUGGUCCUUUUUUUUUAGCCUUUGAUAUGAUCUGAAAAUUGUGGCAGAGUUAGAUUAACAUACCUAUUUUUGGAUUAAUAUCUACAUAUGAAGAGUUCCAUAAUGCUACUUAAAUAAAAGAAACUCAACUUACUGGUUGUUUUUGCCUUGAUUGUGUAGAAGAUGAUGCUUGUUUCUGCCUUGAUUGUCUUGUAAUUCUCUGAGUUGAUGCGUUGCCUUAAUGUGUUGUCUUCUUUUGCCUUUGUGAUGGUACCUGGCCAACAAACAUCAUUGAGAAAUACAUAUUAGAAUGCCAAAUACUUAAAAUUACUUGUCUUCGUAGCUUCCUGGAAACUCUUCCUAGCCUUAUUAGGCACUUGCCCUUACUUAGCUGUCAAUAUUUUUUUUUGGAAUUCCUUGGUGUGCGUAGCAUUCAUUCUCCAUGCUUCUCAGCUGGAUUAUCAGCAUUAGUUCUAGCAGGGUGAUCAACAUUCAAACCAUUAGCAGUAACUCGAGUGGUGACCCCCAUAUUCUCCACAACAACUGUAUCUGCUGCUUGAGCCUUGACUUUAAUAAUAAUUGGGCAGGUGUCUCUACCAUGCCCACAGAAAGCACAUUCAAAGAAAACCAAUUAGAUUCCCUCAUACACCACCCCGUAUGUACGACCUUCUACCUUAAUGAAAGGGGUGAGUGGUUUAGACAGAUCAAGCUCACACACUCUGGUAAACUUACCUCUAGCUUGACUCAUUGUGUGUGGAUCCACCUUCAAAGUAUUGCCUAUCAGAUUCCCAAUCUUUUCCAUAACAUCAACUUUAAAGUACUCCACAUUCAGGCUAUUCAUUCGAACCCAUGUAUUCAUGUAGGUAAUUUUUUUCCUCGGAAUCAAAGCCAGGCUUCCACUUCUGGGUUACCAGAUACUACCCAUCUAUUUGCCAAGGGUCACCAGUGAGAACAUAAUUCAUAUCCUCCACUAGCAAGAAUUUUACAACAUAGUAGUUGUUCUCAAGAUCAAUUAAGCUCAUUGGCCUUUAAGAGCCCAUCUCUGGAGCAACCUGGCCCUAAAAAACGUGUAGGACACAGGGCAAGUCAUAUGCUUGAUAAUUAUACCAUUUCGCCAGGGAUGGUAUAAACACUCACUGAUUCUGUCUGAAAAGUGGAUUUAGGGAAUUUUCCCUUGCUUUGUAAUAAAAUCGUCCUCUCCGAUCUCCAUACGAUCCUCAGCCAUACCAAAAUCACAAGCUACCUCGUCUUUGAAGCUCAUUGGAAUAUGAGGCAACGAUGGGGGGUUCAUCAGCAUUGGGUCCACCACCAUCUAGGGUCUUGGGUGCGAGCUUGCUUCCCUCUUAGGGGUGCCCAACCAAACCAGAUCCAUCCCCACCCACAGAAAAUAUGAACUUCGGCAUUGCUGCUACCACCAAGAGUGAUGGUAGCAGUCGCAUACUAAGGAAAGCAUAAGGGAGAGAGAGCACACUUUCCUGAGACUUUGACGGCUUAGAUGUUCUUUGAAAUAAGUUCAAUAAUUAUUUUUUUUUCCUAAAGUGAUCAAAAAUAAUAAACUCAUGGGAAUAUAUUCAAAUAAUAAACUCUUGAUAAAUUACUGAUUAUCAACUCUUCUAUUUUUUUAUAUUAUCUAUUAGGAAAUAAUAAACUCAACAAAAUACAGUUCUAAAAAAUAACAUAAGAAAUCACUAAAAUGCAAAAGACAAGGGUAAAUGCAAAAGAAAAACACACAACUACAUUUAAAGCUUUGCGGGACGAAGAGGAUUUCAUCGCGCAGAGUCACAUGUAGUCGCACAAAUUUCAGCGCGACAAAAAAUUCGUCCCGCACAAGCCGUUGCGCAAGGAGCGUGAAGAAAGACUUUGCGCCUAAACCUUUGAUGCAACGAUGGUUAACCCCGUCGCUCAGUUUUGCGCGACCAAGUUUCUGCAUUGGUCGCGCAAAACUGAGCGACGGGGUUAACCAUCGUUGCAUCAAAGGUUUAGGGACGACACAGUUGUGUGUUGCACAAACCUUUGCGCGACGAAACCAUAUUCGUCGCAGGUAUAUUUGAGCGACGACGAGUAUUGCGCGACGAAGCAUUCAUUCGUCGCACAAAAUAUUUUCACAAGACGAAUAUCUUCGUCGCAUGUAUAUUUGAGUGACGAAGAGUAUUGCUCAAUUAAACAUUUGUUCGUCGCGCAAGAUGUUUUCGCGAGAUGAAUAUCUUCGUCACGCAAGAAUAAAUAUAUGUAAUUAAAAUGUUAUUUUUAGUUUUUUUAUUUUGUAAAAUGUGAAUUUGCGUGACGAAAAAUAUUUCGUUGCGCAAAAGUAAUAUAUAUUAUUUAAAUUUAAUAUUACGUUUUUUUUAAUUUUGUAAAAAAAUAAAUUUGGUUUUUUUUUUGUUGUGGUAAAAAAAUGAAAUUGCAAUCACAAAAUGAAUUGAAGAGAACAAAAAAUUAUAUAAAAUAAAAUAAAGUGUUACAAGAGAAAUGUUUAAAAUAUAAUUAUAAAAAUAAAAAACUAAUCAAAUAAUGUUCCAAAAUCUACUUGGGCGUCAGGCAUAUACAACUCGGAGAUUUGGGGGUCCAUAGGGGUAGUGGUCUGGCGGGCAUGCUUGAGGUGGACGGGCUCGGAGGUCGAUGCAUCAAAUUGCCGGACUAGAAUGCCAGACCACGUGAGGGACUGCAGAAUCACCGAUAUCUGACCCUCAAGCUCGGCCACCUUUGCUGUCAAAACAGUCACCUGACUGUUUGACUGCGCUGAUGAACGGGGUCUAGGUUGCCUCCGCCGGUCAUUCCCCAUCCCUCGACAAUAUGUCCCUGGCCUCCUCCCGAGAGUUUGAUCCAACGUCUCCGUCAAGAUCUGAAAUCCAACAUCCUGUGAAGGAUCCACAGACUCGAUCGGAGUCUCAGGAAGAAGUUGGGAGGCGGACUCCUGAAGAACCAACUGGCACCUCUCAACCAUCGUCGUCUGUUUAACAUAACAUAAAAUAUAAAUUGAAACAUGCAUAUAAUUGAAUGCGUAACAUAAGAAUUAAAAUUAAAUAAUACUUACAUGAAGAGACUCGGUCAACUCAUUCCCAGGUCGAACAUAAACGUCGCCGAAGACCUGGGAAUUUGGACCCCCCUUAAAUUGAACAAGAGAAAAAAAAUAUUAGUAUGAAAAAAAUAAAUUAAUUAUAAUAACAUAUUAAAAAUUAAAUAUAAAUUAUUUUCUUAUUAUCCGCCGUCGUGCAUCCAUCCUAUAUGAGAAGGGCCUAGAACCAGAAUGGUGGAGAAGAGUCUUCUUCUUCCUAUUGCCCUUAUUGACUUGGGCUUUAUUCUGUUAUACAAAAAAUAAAACGUAUUAGUUGAAAUAUAAAAAAUUAAAUAAUAAUGAAAUAUAAAAAAUUAAAUAAACAUUAGUAAGAAAUAUGUAAUAAUUAAACAAAUAUUAUUAAAAAAUACAACAUAAUCGGGUGCCUGAAAAUGAGCGCAGAGCCAUGCCCAACUAUCCUCCCCCCACCCUCAAGCUCCUUCGAGCAACUCUCCUGAAGAGCGACUUGCGGAUCAUCAAACGCCUGAAAAUGGUGGUGCAAGUCACUCUUUCACUGCUUGUACCUCUCAGCGAAGAGUCUGUUGACGUAUGCCAACAACUCACCGUCGAGGUCCUCUAAGUUGUAGUUCGUCUGCAAUAAAUUAAUUACAUACAUUAAGUAAUAGAAAUAUAUAAAGUUUUUUGAAAGAAAAAUAAUUAAAAGGUAGGAUACAUACCGACAACUGGCCGCAAACCUCCAUCUUCAUCUUAUCAGGCAUGACCUUCCAAAACUUCCAUUGCCUCUGGCAAUAGGUCCGAACGACGUGGCCAAUGUCGUGGGCCAAGGAGCUAUGCAACUCCGUCGCCAGUGUAGCCCGACGGCGCUCGUCGUAUCCAAUGCUGAUAUGACUGUUGGUCACCCGGGUGACCUUCGCCGUCUUCAGCUGUCGACACGGCCCUCAAGUGUUCUUCUUGGCUGCAAAGAAAUAUGACAUUAAUGUUAAAUAAAUAACAAAUUUAACUAUAAAAUUCACAAUACAAAAAAUAAAAUAAAAAAGAACUGGAGUUGAAGAAAAUCUAUACCUGGCUGUGACCCUGAGGCACCAGUACCGUCGGUCGAUGUGGUGUUGGUGGUGCUGGGGGGCCGGUGCUGCCGCCUAGCGCUAACAAGCUACUCUAUUGAUGAAGCUGAUGACGCAGGCGCCUGGGACCCCCUAGACCAACUGGCAAGUGGUCCAUCAGUGCUAAAACAGUGGCAGUAGAUGCCGGCUGGGCCGGGGGCUCCGAACUCGGUGCAGUCGUCAUCGACCUACGACGUCUAAUUAGGUUUAACAUCUGCACAAUUUCAUUAAUAUACAUACAAAUUAAUCAAAUUUACGAAUAUAUAAGUGUAAGCACAUACAAUUUCAUUAAAAAUUUUAACUAAUUAAUUAAAAGCAUAACUUGACCUAGAGUUUGGAUUUCGGAGUAUCCGGGACUCUGAUCCACAAUCCGUUGAAUCCUGCACGAUCCUAGAAAUACAAGGUACAACAUAAGUGAGUUUGAGUUUGAUCCAACGGUCCUAACAUAUCAAACCUGGAAAUCGCACAAUAGGCGAAAUCCGUUCAAGACUCAAACGGUAACCAAAUUCAAAUCCGAGCACACCUACGCGCUCGUGAUAAAUAGGGGAUUGCACUGGGACCCAAAGCCCCACUGCCACAGUCUCCCACGAGCCACCACACGCGUUGGCAGCGUGUGGGUGUCCAAAGCGAUAACAAUCGCCGAAAAAUUCUAAAAACUAAGGGCCAAGGUUCCUAUCCUAGGUUCAAAAUAUCAAUUGGAGUCACUUUUAUUCUCGGAUCUACCCCAAAAAAUGACCAAAAGUGGCUGAAAUUUAAAUUCAAAAACCAGCCAAAACCUAGGGUUUAAAUUCCAGAAACCUAUUGCGACAAUUAACCAAAUCCUACCCAACCAUCAGCUAGAGCACGAAAAAUAGUCCAGAAACCAUACCUCAGGUGUCAGAUUUGGUGGCCGGAGGAGAGAGAACAAGGCCGGCGAAGACUCUGUCAAACCUAGCAAUAUCCGGCGGUAGGCUCGACGGUGACGGUUCUGGGCUUCGAAGGUUGUGGCGGCCCGAUCCUUUUCCCGGCGGAGCAAUGGGCUGAGGUGACGGUGGAGAGAGAGGCAGUUUAGGGCAGAGAGAGGAAGUGAGGAAGAAAGGAGGCUGUCGCGAUUUUUCUGAAAAUUUAACUGAUCUUGUGCGACGAAGAACACAAUGUGUCGCGCAAGGUAUGUUUAAUAAACCUUGCGCGACGGAAAAAAAACAAUGACGUCGCGCAAGGUAGUUUUCCGCUCAAAUUUUCAUUGCAUUGCGCAACGAAUAAGAAAAACCGUCGCGCAAGGUGCUUAUUCCACCAAAAAAUUUGUCACCUUGCGCGACGAGUGAACAAAACCGUCGCGCAAGGUGCUUAUUCCGCCAAAAAUUUUGUCACCUUGCGCGACGAGUGGACAAAACCGUCGUGCAAGGUUGUUAUUCCAUCAUAAAUUUUUGGGUUUAGGGUUUAGUGAAGGGUCUGAUCAUUUUGCGUGACGAAAAGACUCUAUCAUAGCGCAAGAUUGUGUAAAACCCUAAACCUUAAACCCUAAAUUAAUAAACCUUGCGUGACGUAGAAGACAUUGUGCGCAGGGACGGAUCCACAUAGGAGCAAGGGUGGUCAAUUGACCCCUGCAACUCCAAAAUCCGCCACUAGAGGAAGAAAAAUUGACCCCUGCAAUGGCUGGAUGGCUGGGCAAUUCAUGCCCGCCAUCUGUUCGAGGAAAUGCCUCAAAGGGUUGCAGCAACUUCAACUUCAGCGCAGCAAGAAGGAGUGCACGCAGAGCGCUUCCUUUUUUUCGUCCAAAAGUCCCUCUUCCUAAAGUGGAUAUCAGCUUCUUGCUCUUUGCAAAGGGUGGUUUGGGAGAACAGUGUCAUUGGGAAAAUCAAAGCUUUGCCGUCGAAUUUUACCAUGUGCAUCUUUCAGAACAAGGUUGCCAGAAUUAAAAAGCUCUGCUCUCUCAACAUCAAGGCUACUGGAGUUGGUGCUGGUCUGCCAGAUAGUUGCGCCAUCCACAUCGGUCUCAAGACCAAUGAGCCAUCUUUUCGAAGCGAAACUCUGGCGCCAAGGCUAUUGACAGUUUUGUCUCUGUUAGCCAUCCAAACAACUGUUCUGCUUUUAGAGUUUGUGAACCCACAUGUGAAAGACUCAUCUGGGGAAGUUACUUGAUUUAAUAUGUGUUUUCUCAAUUGUUUUCUCAAUGAAUUAUAUAUGAAUGAUAAUUUAUCGUUUUAUUUUUAUGGGAUGAAUAUUGAUGUUUUUCUUGAUUAGUUGUUGAGGUUUUUUAUUUUAUUUUUUUCCAAGGAUGUUUAAUUUUGUUUUGUUACCUUUAGUUUGAAUAAAGGAUUUCUUAAUAAUAAAAAUAUUUAUGGGUAUAUUUUGUAGAAAUUUUUUUUAACCUUUUAAAAGUUGACCCCCGGAGGAAAAAUUCCUGGAUCCGUCCCUGAUUGUGCGUCACGCAAAUCUCUGGCAAAGUAAUAUUUUAAAUUGAAAUUGAAAUUUUUUUUAUACAUUCUUAUACAUAUUAUUAAUAGAGUAUAUUAUUUUUUUUAAAAUAUAAAAAUGCCCAGAAAAAUAGACUUUAUUAAAAAAUAAUAAACACCAUAAGAAUAUUUUAAAUUUUUUUUAUACAAGGAAAAAUACUCUAAUUCAAUUUGCUAGCUGUGCCCAGUUAGAUUUCUCAUAAAUGGCCAGUACACUUUUAGCCUUCCCUUCACCAAAACGUAGACCAUUACAAACCUGGAUAGAACCAAAAGAAAUGCAAAAUCAAAAUUGGGCAAGAGUCUUAAUAUAUGCCAUAAAAAUUAAAAAUUAAAAAAUUAAAAAAUUUAGGGUUUUUUUAAAAGCUGUGCACUUGUAUGACUUAAUAUAUGCCUUAUCUUUUUCCUAAAAAGAUAAACCCUAAAUUUUUUAUUUUAAAAAAAAAUAUACUCUAUUAAAAAAUAAUAAACACCAUAAGAAUGUUUUAAAUUUUUUUUAUACAAGGAAAAAUACUCUAUUAAAACAAUAAACACCUUCGUACAAAGAAAAUCACAAUGAUCAAACUUUAAUUAACAAAUCAACUACCAAUAAUAAAAGUGAUCUCAAGUUCAAGUUAUAAAACGAAGGGUUAAUACUUUUUUAGUUAUUUUCAUACUCCAAUCUCACUCAUAUGAUCUCAUCUCAUCUCAAAGGCUUCUCUUCCUUGAACACGCAGCUUCACUCAACCCACUUGAACCCAAGAGUAACCACCAUUAAUUUGAACCACUACAACCUCCACUGCUUCAAUCAAACCCAUUCUCUCACAUCGCAGAAACCUCAUCGACUCGAUUACGCUUGGAUACUCACGUAACUUGAUCUAGUAACCGAACCUAAUCCAAGAGUAUUGAGUACACCUUUAUGUAGACAAUUAUAUUAAACUAAUAUUUUAAAUUUAAAUUGUAUAUCCAUUUUUUAAAUAUAUUUGAAUAUCACUUAUUAUUAUUCUAAUAUACCAAUUUUAUUUUUAUUUUAAAAAGGCCACUUGGAAUGUGGAUGCAUUGUGGGUUAAAUCACAAAUAGGGUCAACACUUUAUUUAUGAAAUUGUGAUUUAUAAAUAUGUUUUGCGCGACGAAUAUCUAUAAUUUCGUAGCGUAAAGAAGUGUUGCGCAACGAUACGAAUAUUUCGUCGCGCAAGGUUGUAUUUUCACUAGGAAAUUAUCGCAACUUGUGCGACGUAAAUGUUAACUUCGUUGCGCGAUGAAGUAUGUCUUUCGUCGCGCACCUUGCGCGACGUACAAACUGCAGUGACGUCGCGCAAACCAUUUACUUUCUCGCGAAACGAAUUUUCGUCGCACAAGUUUUAAACUAUAAAUUAAAUAUCACGAUUUCUAGUAUAUUAGGACACUUUGCACGACGUACAAACUGCAGUGACGUCGCGCAAACCAUUCGCUUUCUCGCGCGAUGAAAAUAUUCGUCGCGCUUUUAAACUAUAAAUUAAGUAUCACGAUUUCUAGUAUAUUAUGACACCUUGCGCGACGUGGAUGUUCUCAUUACGUCGCGCAAACCUCUUGCAAUGUUUUUUUUUUAAGUUAAUUUUUUUAUUUUCUUUAUUUUAAAUAAUUAUUAUAAAAAUUACAGAUGUUACCUUAAUGAACUUAAGUUUAAUAUGAAUUACGAAAAAAAUUCAAAGAUUUCGGUACAAUUGAAAAGUUAAAUGUUUAUAUUUUAAAUUUGAAUUAUUAUUUUAUUCUCCAAUGUGAGACUUAAUUUACACAUUAUAGUUUGUAUAAUAGUUUAAUGCUUGAUUAAAUCAUUAAAUAAGACGGGGUUGUGAGAUCUAAGGGCCCGAUUCUUGAUAUAUUUUUUUUUCAAUGUUUUUUAUUCAUUCAAUUUGAAGAUUUUAAACACAAAAAAGAGAAAACCCUAAUUCUUAUAUUCAUAAAGACCAUUGAAAAUCAAAUAGACAGAUUCAAAUCUGUUUUCAAAUUUAGGUAUAUAUCUAAAUUAAAAUUUAUAUAUAUUAUAUGUUGUAAUUUAAUUCGUGAUUGCAAAUUUUGUGUGCAACUUGAUUUUAAUUUGUCAUUGCCAUAUUUACACUACCAUAAUUAAAUUAUAACAAAUUUCAUUUACUAUGUUUUACAUGGGUAGUCGCUAAUAAAUUGCAUUAUUCAUCAUUUGAACUAUAAUAACCUUCGUUAUCCUCACUAUCAUCACUUUCGUUCUCCCAAUCCUCCUCCUCAUCACUUUCAUUAUUUGGGCCCACUGGAACUUCAUAUCGCGGAAGAUCACCGAGGUCAAUUGUAAUUGACUGAAUCGGUAUUUCGAUUGAAGACACUCCUUGAAGCUGAAACGGUUCUUGUAUAACAUUUGUAUCUCAAAGUGUUUCUGCAUCAUUUUCCAUGAAAGAUUCCAACCGUUGGUUAGUGACGUUGUCGACGUCGUUGUCAGUUGGGCCUAGUUAUGGUAUAGCAUACAUGUUCCUCUGAUCCAUCUACUGAGCAACUUUCCAACUGCUUCCAGCUUUAGGGUCAUCUAGAUACACAAUCUGUCUUGCCAUGUUUGCCAAAUGUAAAGGUCGUCAUCAUACCAAGUUCUGUUAAUGUUCACUGAUAAUAAGUCAUGGUCUAUUUUAACACUUCCCUGCCUAUUUGGGUUUGUAUCAAACCAUCGACACUUAAACAUGAUCACUUGGUAUCGGUCUUUGUAAAGCAAUUGUACAACAGUUGUGAGUUUGCCAUAAAAAUUAAUGUUUGUACUUUCGCUUCCACCUGGGACAUGGACACCGCUAUUUUACGUACACAACUUGUCAUCUCGUGUAGUCCACAAAAACUUGAUGCCGUUAACAUGGCAACCCGAGAAUAAUUCAACGCGAAUCGGGCCGAACGUCAAGUUAUAUAACUCUUCACUGUAAAAGGGUGAAUUCGAUGAUUUCAACUUAUUCACCUAAUAUUAUACAAAAACAUUCACAUGUUAGUUUGAUAACAUUAAAUAAUACUAUAUAUAUAUCAAAUACAAAACACUUAUAACUUACAUAUUUCAAAAACCAUUGUGGAAACAAAUCACGGUGUUUCGUGGCAUACAAAUGUGAUGGAUGUUCUCGCUUCAUCAUCUCUUCAUACUCAUCUAAAUAUGUCAUUAUCUCAUCACAAUUGUUAAGUACGAACCAAUGCGCUACAUCCAUGUCAUUUCUGAAAAACGACCCUCCUCGUACAGGAUCUCCAACGGGUCGUGCGCUUUGGGCAAAAAUAGAAAGUUUCUCAUUUCUCAGACCUCUGUCAUUAUUGCGCUGAGGAUGAUUGAAAGCCGUGUCCACAUCUUUUAAAUACAUUCCAAAGAAAGUAAGCAACUCAUAUUGAACCCAAGCCUCUAUAAUUGAUCUUUCGGGCUUCGCCCUGUUGCGUACAUUUUUUUCAGCUCUCCUAGAAGCCUGCUAAAAUAAAAUGAACCACUACAAAUUAGCGAGCGUGGGAUAAGGAUGCAUAAACAAAUGAUGAGGAUUAUAUACUUUUCUAUUGGAUACAUCCAGCGAUAGUUGACAGGACCAGCGAGCAAUGCCUCUUCUGGCAAGUGAACCAUCACGUGGAUCAUACUUGUGAAGAAAGCUAGAGGGAAUAUCAUCUCGAACUUGCAUAGGACUUGGACAAUGUCAUGGCGCAACUGAUUAAUGUAUGUCUUUCGCAAUGUUUUUGCCGUUAGUUGGGAAAAAAAUCUGGACAACAACAUGAUUGGUUCCACUACAUCUUCUGACAAAAGAUGUCGAAUACCCACAAGAAGUAGGCUUUGCAUAAACACAUGGCAGUCAUGGCUCUUUAGUCCAAUAAAUUUACCCCCGUCAAUAUUAACGCAACACGCAAUAUUAGAAGCAUACCCAUCGGGAAACUUUAUAGAUGAUACAAACUUUAGAAAAUCUUUUUUGUCAUUCGGUUUCAUGGAAAAACAAAUGUCAAUUCCCUUCUAGCUUUAUCACCUUCCCUAUUCAUCCAUAAACCUCUUCGUAUGCCCAUUCUUUCCAAAUCAAGACGAGUUUUGAUCGUGUCCUUUGUCUUACCCUCGAUAUCUAGAAUCGUGCCCAUCAAUGUGUCAAAGACAUUUUUCUCAACAUGCAUAACGUCGAGAUUGUGCCUCAAUUUUAGUUUCGACCAAUAUGGGAGCUCAAAAAAUAUAGGCUUGUGCGUCCAGUUCAAAUGUGUAGAAGGUCUGGUUCGAGUAACUGUUUUCCCGAACGGAGAAAAAUCCAAACGGUUAAGCUGUUCCAAGAUCUCUUCACCGGACCAUUCUCUAGGUCUGAGGCGAUGCUCUGUGUUCUCGUCAAACUCUUUAUCCUUUCUCUGCCACUCGUGGUCCCAUGGCAACCAUCUCCGAUGACCAAGAUAACAAACUUUUUCCGCGUGCCAACCAGAAGUUACAUCUUCCUUGCAUACAGGGCAUGCCAUAUAACUCUUUGUGCUCCACCCAGAAACCAUUGCAUAUGCAAAAAAUCAUUCACAGUCCACAUAACUGCUGCCCGCAAAGUGAACAUCUUCUCAGUAGAUUUAUCGUACGUGUGCACACCGUUUGUCUAUAAAUCCUUGAGCUCAUCAACCAACGGCCUUAAGUAAACAUCGAUUGACUUGUCAGGAUCCUCAAUUAUCAAAAUAGUCAUCAUCAUGUAUUCUUUUUUCAUGCAUUUCCAAGGCGAAAAAUUAUAUGGGAAUACGAAAAUAGGCCAAGUGCUGUGGUGUUGGUUUAGAAUCCCGUACGAAUUGAAUCCGUCAAUGGCAAGUCCCAAUCUUACAUUUCGGGGAUCAGCAGCAAACUCGGGGAAUGUUCGAUCAAACUCUUUCCAUGCCUCCCCAUCUGCAUGAUGCCGCAUCACAUCGUCGUCUACCCGUUUUUCCUUAUGUCAUCUCAUGUAUGUGGCAGUAUGAGUCGACAUAUACAAUCGUUGUAACCUAGGUUUCAAGGACAGAUAACGCAUGAAUUUUUGUGGGAUCUUAAUCGUUCUAUUCUGAGAUGUCAUCUUGAACCUCGACUCUUUGCAUAUAUGGCAUGUAUCCAAUGUUUCAUACUCUUUGUAGAAUAACAUGCAAUUGUUUUUGCAAGCAUGAAUUUUUUUCAUAACCCAAUCCAAGACCAUUCAACAACUUUUGCGCGUGUCUAUGGUCUUCCGGCAAACAAUUGUCCGUCGGAAGCAUUCUCUUGAAAACCCCCAAAAAGUAAUCGAAACACAGAUUCGACAUACGAUACUUUAUUUUUCCGUGCAUUAGCUCCACAAUGGCCGUGAGAAUGGAAAAGCUCUCGCACCCUGGGUAUAACUCUUAGUUUGCAUUUUUUAACAGUUGUUCAUAUUGUUCGAACUCUGCACUAUCCAUUGGGGUAGGCACGUCAUCUUCCCCUUCCUGAUUGAUGUUGGUCGAUGCAAAUAGAAAAGCAUCAUUUAUAAUAUCAAUGACUUGUUCAUUAGGAUCCACAAUAGGUUCAACAUUGUCCACCAUUGUGGCAUUUGAAGAUGAAGCAUUGUCUAAUUGUUCCCAGUGAAGGUUCCAAAUGCUAUAUGUCUCAAUCAUUCCAUUCCUUACUAAAUGAAAUCCAACAUUUUCAAUUGUCUCCCACAACGUGUUGUUACACCUCCUACAAGGACAACGGAUUCUAGUUGCACGCGGGUUGUGUCUAUGUGCAAACUCAAUAAAAUCCUCGAUUCCAUCCAAGUAUUCGUAUGUGCAUCUAUUCGGUUUAUGUAUCUACCUUAUACUCAUAACUCCUGAAACCACAAUCACAACAACUUCAUACGAAGUUAUAAUGUCACCUUAUGCCUCCGGUAAGGGCCCUAUCCCAUUCAGGAAUGCAUAGUCCUGUCACGUAACCUACAGCUACAUGAGAUUAGAUUUCGACGUGGAUGAAUUUCGGCAGCAUCUCGAUACAGUUCUUGAGGUGGGCAUAGGUAUAAAUACCUACAUACCACCCCAAGAACGUACCGAGAUGACACUGAAAUCUCCACAAUCGAAACCUAAUCCUGUAGCUGUAGAUUACGUGACAAUACUAUGUAUUACCAAACUGUCCAAAUAAUGGGACAAUUUAAGAAUUAAUUGGACCGCAGUCAUACUUUACGCAUUCAUGCACGAAAUCCAACUAAUCUCGAAUGGGAAACUAAGUGUUACUAAAAAAUAAUAAUAAAAGUACGAAGUUAAUUUCAAUUAACUUCGUACAUCACAAUACAUUGUGCUACGUCACGCAUAAUUUCACAACAUAAUAUAAAUAUAAUUUCACAACAAAAAAUAUAAAUAUAACAAACUAAGUUCAACAUAAUGUAAUUAAUUUAAUAUAAAAUGAAUAAAAUACCUUCUCAAUCGUUCUCCACAAUUGCUAAUUACAAAUAUGUAUAAUGAGAACAAAAUUAAUAAAGUUAGUAUGAAUUUACAUUAGUGCUUUUAAACAAACGACAAAUAAUACUUACCCAAUGAGCGUAUUGAAUUCCCAGCAGAGGCAGCAACACAGACAAAGAGAGGUUCCAAAUUUUUUUUGCAUUCUGCCUCUGCAAUGGCAGAAUCCAGAGAUGUAGACGAAGGAUUUUGCGCGACGAAACAACAUUUUCGUCCCGCAAAACCAGUUUUUCGUCGCAUAAAAUCACUUUUUUCGUUGCGUAAGCACCUGUCAACAUCGGGCUUAUGCGCUACGAAAUUUCCGAUUCGUCGUGCAACCUUUCGUCGAGCAAAAUCUAAACGGCGUCGCGCAUACACAAAUUUCUGUCGCACAAGAACAUGCUGACAUCAAACUUUAGGCGACGAAAUGUAUUUUUGUUGUGCAAGUAUUUGGCGCCAAAAAAAAGAUAUCGCACAUUUUUCUGUCCACCUUUACGUGACGAAAUAUGAAACCGUCGUGCUAGGAUAUCUUUCGCGACGAUCAAUAUCGUCGCGCAAAUGUUUGGCGCUAAAAAAAAUAAAGCCGGGUUUUUCUUCCCUCACUUUGCGUGAGAACUCAUUUGUUUGUCGUGCUAAGUUUCUUUGCGCGACGAAUUUUUGUUUCCGUCGCUGAAGUGUAUUUUGCGCGACGAAUUAAAGAAACAUAACAACGUAGAUUUAAAACAUAGCCCACAAAAAAUUAAAGCAAACCCAAUAAGAUUCAAAGGAUUUAAGGAAAACCCAAUUAUAAUAAUAAAAGGAAAGAAGUUUUACCCAAGGCAUCCAAUUGUUGCUUCUUGGUAGAACCAAGUGGUCUGCCUCUGGCUUUCUUGAUGGAAGUGGGUGAAGCAGAACCUGCAAAUAGAGGAGGAUGAGGGGGAGGAGUUGAGCUUUGAGGUUGAACUUGGUGGUUGAUGAUGGAGUUGAGCUUUGAGGUUGAAUGAGAACGAGAAUGAGAGCUUGAUAGGGAGAGGGAGAGAGAUGAUGAGAGGGAGUUGCAGCUAAGGUUAGGAAAUGAAGGAAUGAGAGAGGAGAGAUAGAGUAGAGUCCAUGAGUUUUAGUUUUGGAGUCCAAUCAAGUAUCGAAGGGUACAUGGUAAACUUUUCAAAUAACCACUCAAGCCUUGCCACAUGUAAAUUAAAUUAAACAAAUAAUAAUUUAAUUUAUAAUUAGUCCGGUUUGGUUGAUGACAUAUUACAAAACUCCUAAAUCGCACUGAACUAAACCAAAUUGGUUCGGUUUGAUCUGAUUUUUCAAACUAUUGACCUUUUUUCUUCUUCAAUCAAAAUCAAACCAAACAAAACUAAUAUAAUCGAUUCUGCUGGAUUGAUGCCCACCCCUAUAUGCAAAGAUGCUAAUAAUAUUUAUUUAACGAUAAACUAGCCCCUUGGCACACACUCAUGCAUGUGCCAAUUGGUUUUCUUUUUUCUUUUUUAUUUUAUUUUUAGAAUUAAGAAAAGAUAAUAUGGGUACUUAUGUUCCAUAAAAGUAGCACCUAUUAUCUGAUUUUGUUUUUAAUUUUAAUUUUUUAAAUAUGAAAAAUUGUGAAUUUACCAUAUUAUUUUUAUUUAAUUAAUAAUUUUAAUUCUUAAUGUUUAAAUUAACUAAGGUCAUUUUCUGGUAUUUUGAAUGUUUCACCAUUCUCUUCCUUUUGCUUUAUAUAUAUAGAUUUAACUGAAAUUGUUCUAAAAAAGACACGUGCACCAUUUUGACAUUUGAGCCAAUGUUUUUAGGGUUAUCUACUGUAGACGUCCCUGAACUAGGGCCUCAGUUACAAUUGGGUCUGUGAACUUUUUUUUGAGGCAAUUACAUCCGUUAACUCUAUAAAUAGUUCCAAUUGGGUCCUACCGUCCAAGUCUGUCAAUUUUUUCUGUCAAAAUAAGGGGUAAAAGCAUCCUUUUGAGCUGUAGAGGUAAUUGUUUUAACGGUUUUUAACUGUAGACGUCCCUGAACUUUGCUCCCAGUUGCAAUUGGGUCCGUGAAUUUAUUUUUGAGGCAAUUACAUCCUUUAACUCGACAAGUAGUUCCAAUUGAGUCUUGUCAUAACAGAGUAAAAGAGCUAAAAACUUAGUAACCACAAAAGAUGGGUUUGAGGCAAUUGAAGACUGACGGCUCGUGAAGAACUUCUUGAUCUUCUCCAUGCCGGCGGUCGUGGUUUCGAAGGUGUUGUUGGAUUUGGCCACGUCGACCAACGUCAUGGUGUAGCUGGCUGCUGCGGUGGCGUUCAUUCUGGCUCCAAGGGCGCCGUCGGUGUUACGGAGGUAGUGGAGGAGGAGAGCUUAAGGGGAUGAGGUUGCAAGUGGGUUCUGGCUUCUGCGGGUUGGGAGAUCUGGGGGGGGGGUUGUAAGUUGCAGGUUAGGUUGGGAUCUGGGUUUUGAGGGGGUAGGCUAAGGAGGAGGGUGAAUGAGCUGUAGAAGAGACAGAGAGAUAGAGAGGGAGAGCUAAGAGAGAGAGGGACAAAUUCUGUUACGGUAUGACUCAAUUAGAACUACUUGUCAAGUUAAAAGAUGUAAUUGCCUAAAAAAAGUUCAUGGACCCAAUUGCAACUAUGAACAAAAUUCAGGGACGUCUACAGUUAAAAACCGUUAAAACAAUUACCUUUGCAACUCAAAAGGACGCUUUUACCACUCAUUUUGACGGACAAAUUGACGGACUUGAAUAACAAAAUCUAAUUGGAACAACUUGUAAAGUUAAAAGAUGUAAUUGUCUAAAAAAAAAAAAAAAGUUCACGAACCAAUUGCAAGUGAGGGCAAAGCCCAAGAAGGUCUACAGUUAAAAACCCAUGUUUUUAAUAAAAAAACCCGAAGGUCACUUUCGGCAUUGCAGUACUCUCUUUAUAAUACUAGCUCCCUGGGAGGCUGAAACCCUAAAAUUGCUUUGUUUUCACGCCGAGCAAAAUGUUCCACUGUUUAUUUCUUACGGAGUCUUUUUUUUUCUUCCUUAGAAAACAAAUUUAAAAAUUGUUGAUUCUUUUGGCUGAAAGAUGGUUUUUGAUUUACAUUAUCUUUCGGUUCAAGUAUGAUUCCCGAUGAUGAACAAAUUGAAAAAGCUAAAGAGCGGUAAGCGUGGUUGUUUUCUUCAUCAGCCUAUACUCACCACCACUGUAACCUCUCUCUCUCUCUCUCUCUCUCUCUCUCUCUCACACUCUCUCUCUCUCUCUCAUACAUACAUACAUAUAUAUAUAUAUAUAUACGCAGUGCUGUUGAGUAUACAGGCUGUUGAUGAACGCCACUUGCUUCAAACCGUGAAUGAUUCGUUAAAAGCUAUGAGAUCUGAGGGCAUUUUGAUAGAUCUCACUCUAUACAACUACCCAUUCGGGGAUUUAGCCUUAAACGUGGUUAAAAUUUGCGGAACUAGUUACUUUUACACUUGCAUGUUCAUUUCUGCCCCAAAUUUCCUUGCUUUCAUAGUUAUGCUUUUGCUUUGCCACUGAUUGUUUAUACUGCUCUACUUUUGAAAUGGAUUUUCGUAAGAACCCAUUUUUGUUACUGCGUGUUAGGCAUUUGAUGUUAAGUUGGCCCAAGAUCUGCUAAUGUCCGUGACUAUGGUUUGUAAACUACAGUGGCAUAUUUUUUUAAGUGGAUUUUUGUUUUUUCAUUUUGUCAUAUGUAGUGGGUUCCUGGUAUUGUUAAGUUGGAUUGUGGGGGAAUGAUGAUACAUGCACUGGUCUCUGAGCAGUUUGUAACUGCGAUUAUUGAUGGAAAUGCAGCCUAGAAAUAUGACCCUUGUAGAAAUCUUUAACCUUGCUGUGAUAAAGGUGUUCCAACUAACCCAACGUUGAUAGUAGUGAUGCUGUGUUAUGAUAAGAUUUGCUGUCUUUUUGUCUGUUCUGUGUAUCUCCAUGAUCUACUUUUAGAUGGCCGUUCUUUUUUGAGUUUUUAACAAUGUUUUCUAGUGUAGCUGAUUUGCUGCCACAGCAAGAUGGUCCAAUUUUUAUUAGCCUAAUGAUGGAAAACUCGUUUUUUGAGCGGUUCUGUGGAUUAUUGUUAGGAGCCUUUUCUAUCAUUUUUGCUGUACUAGCCAUUAUCAUCAUCAAAAACACCAUCCUCUGUCUGUCUGUCUGUCUCUCCCUCUCUCUCUCUCUCUCUCUCUCUCUCUCUCUCUCUCUCUCUCUCUCUCUCUCUCUCUCUCUCUCUCUCUCUCUCUCUCUCUCUCCCUGGCUUGUAUGGUUGAAGAUGUGAAGAGGCUCGUAGUGAUAAUCCAGUGGUUAACCGUCAAUGACCAGAUAUAGCUAUGAGAUCUGAAGGCUUGUCCAGAGACAUUUGUUCCUCCUAAGAUAUGUGAUUGAAUCUUAAAUCAUUUUUGUUCCUCAGUUAUUCUAUGGUUGUAUUUUCUUAGUUUCCACAUAUUUAUUACACUUCUCCUUUAUUACAUCCUUUAUUUACCAUUGCAUCGAAGUUGCGACUGCGUUUCGUUGUAGUAGUGAUGCUGUGUUAACGAUCAGAUCUACUCUUUUGUCUAUUCUGUGUCUCCAUGAUAUAACUGUAGAUGCCCACUGGUUUUUGUUUUUUUUUUAAGAAUGUUUUCUAGUGUAGCUAUUUUGCUGCCUCAGAAAUAUGGUUCAAUUUUUAUUAGCCUAAUGAUGGAAAACUCAUUUUUGGAGCGGUUCUGUGGAUUAUUGUUAGGAGCCUUUUCUAUCAUUUUUGCUUACUAGCCAUUAUCAUCAUCAUAAACACCAUCCUCUAUCUAUCCAUCUCUCUCUCUCUCUCUCUCUCUCUCUCUCUCUCUCUCUCUCUCUCUCUCUCUCGCUCUCUCUCUCUCUCUCCCUCCCUCCCUCCCCCCUGGCUUGUAGUGUUGAAGAUGUGAAGAGGCUCAUAGUGAUUAUCCAGUGGUUAACUGUCAAUGACCAGACAUAGCUAUGAGAUCUGAAGGCUUGCCCAGAAACAUUUGUUUCUUUUAAGAUAUGUUUAUUGAAUCUUAAAUCAUUUUUGUUCCUUAGUUAUUCUAUGGUUGUAUUUUCUUGGUUUCCACAUAUUUAUUAUGCUCCUCCUUUAUUAUGUCCUUUAUUUACCAUUGCUUCGAAGUUGCGACUGCAUUUCAUUGUAGUAGUGAUGCUGUGUUGACGAUCAGAUCUACUCUUUUGUCUAUUCUGUGCGUCUGCAUGAUAUAACUGCAUAUGCCCACUCGUUUUUGUUUAUUGUUUUUAACCAUGUUUUCUAGUGUAUCUAUUUUGCUGCCUCAGGAAGAUGGUUCAAUGUUUAUUAGCCUAAUGAUGGAAAACUCAUUUUUGGAGCGGUUCUGUGGAUUAUUGUUAGGAGCCUUUUCUAUCAUUUUUGCUGUACUAGCCAUUAUCAUCAUCAUAAACACCAUCCUCUCUCUCUGUCUCUCUGUCUCUCUGUCUCUCUCUCUCACUCUCUCUCUGUCUCUCUCUCUCUCUCUGUGGCUUGUACGGUUGGAGAUGUGAAGAGGCUCGUAGUGAUAAUCCAGUGGUUAACCGUCAAUGACCAGAUAUAGCUAUGAGAUCUGAAGGCUUGCCCAGAGACAUUUGUUCCUUUUAAGAUAUGGUUAUUGAAUCUUAAAUCAUUUUUGUUCCUCAGUUAUUCUAUGGUUGUAUUUUCUUGGUUUCCACAUUUUUUACACUCCUCCUUUAUUAUGUCCUUUAUUUACCAUUGCAUCAAAGUUGCGACUGCGUUUUGUUGUAGUAGUGAUGCUGUGUUAACGAUCAGAUCUACUCUUUUGUCUAUUCUGUGUCUCCAUGAUAUAACUGUAGAUGCCCACUCGUUUUUGUUUUUUUUAAACUGUGUUUUCUAGUGUAGCUAUUUUGCUGCCUCAGGACGAUGGUUCAAUUUUUAUUAGCCUAAUGAUGGAAAACUCAUUUUUGGAGCGGUUCUGUGGAUUAUUGUUAGGAGCCUUUUCUAUCAUUUUUGCUUACUAGCCAUUAUCAUCAUCAUAAACACCAUCCUCUAUCUAUCCAUCUCUCUCUCUCUCUCUCUCUCUCUCUCUCUCUCUCUCUCUCGCGCGGGCGUGUAGAGAUGAAGAUAAAAAGAGGCUCAUAGUGAUAAUCCAGUGGUUAAAUGUCAAUGAAUAUAUAUAGCUAUGAGAUCUGAAGGCUUGUCUAUAGACAUUUUUUGUCCUUCUAAGAUAUGCUUAUUAAAUUGUAAAUCACUUUUCGUCCUUAGUUAUUCUAUGGUGUUUUAUCUUCAUUUCUACAUAUCUAUUACGCUCCUCUUUAUUAUGCCCCUUAUUGACCAUUAUAUGGAAUUUGUGACUGCAUUUCGUUUUAAACAUUUGCACUGAAUAAUAUGUAUUUCCCAUGUGGUGCAAAUAUCCUUCCCAAGGUGCCCUUGAAACGCUGAUAAAAUUAAUGUGAUGGAACUUCAGUCAACUGCAAAUAGUAGAGCGUCCUGGAAUGUGGUUAUUUUGACAUUGUCAAUGGCACAGUUAAGAGUUUCAAUUGGUUUGUUUUUCUUUUGGUUUGGUGUGACUAUUUGGCAACUAUUGUAUGAAAUUUUGUUUGCUAGUGCUAGUUUAGAUAUUUAAGGUGUAUGGCUAACUGUAUGAGAUUCCAUAGAUUAAAUUGUGUUUGAUGGUAGAUUCCAUUUUAGUACUCCAUUGAUCUGAUCUUUGUUGGAAUUCAAAUAAAAGGUGAAGUUAUUAUUGUAGGUUUGAGCAUAUGAGACUUUAAAAAACAACGCUGUACUAAUGAUCAGAUCUAGUGUCUUUUGUUUAUUCUGUGCCUUUCCACGUUCUACUUGUGGUUGUCUGAGUUUAUAUUUCUUGCCUUUUUUAUUUUUUGGGAUUACCUUGUAAUGUAAUCUAACAAAUUUGCUGCCUCAGAAAAUUGGUGCAAUUUUUUAUUAGCCUGGUGAUGGAAACCUCUUUUUUUUGUUAUGAUUUUUAUAGCACUUUAUAUUAUAAGACUGCAGGUACCUGAAUAGUUUUUUGUAACACAGUUUCUUAUUACUUUCAAUGAGCUUUAAAAUUUAAAUCUGGUUUUCAUUUGUGAAGUACAGAACAGUUAUGAACUGUUUGAGUACCUUUGAGCUUACUUGAUGUCUCAAUUUUCUUACUAGAUAUAUUUAUAUAAACUAAAAUCUUUAGAAUAUUUAAGAAUAUAUAUUAAUUUAUAAUUUAUAUAUUAAUUAUUUAAUUGAAAUGUAAUUUAAUGGUGUCAGGCAUUUGAUGUCAAGUUGGUUCAAAAUCCGCCAAUGUCUAUGACCAUGGUUUGUAUUAUGGCUUGUUGUGUAUAAUGGCAUAGUUUUUAAGUGGAUUUUAAAAUUUUCUUUUCCGUGGUCUGGGUUAAUUGCUAAGUGGGACUUUGGUGAACAAUGAUACAUGCAUUGGGCUUGGAGCAGUUUAUGACUGCAGCCAUUGAUGGAAAUGCAACCUAGAAAGCUAUAUAUGACCCCUGUAGAAAUCCUUGCAUUCCUGUGAUACGGGUGUUGCAAUGUUAGGAUGAAAUUUUUAUCUGCUAGUUGUAGGGGUAUGGCUGACUGCAAGAGAUUCCAUACAAGUAAAUUGUGUUUAUCUGGUAUAUUUUCAAAUUGGGUGUUCAGGACAUGGUGUUGAUUGAAAAUCUACUCAUGCUCAUGGCUACGGUCGUAUUUGUGGCGAGUAAUUUAUAGUGAAUUGGUAUUAAAAUCGAGUGAUGUACAUGCAUGCACUGAGCUCCGAGCUGUGGUUAUUGAUGGAAAUGCAGGCAGCUUAGAAAACUAUAUAUGAGCCUCCAUGAAAUCCUUUUGCUUUUCUGUUCGCAGGUGUUGGAUUUAAAAUGAAAUUUCUGUUUGGGCUAGAUUGGAUUCUUAAGGUAUGGAUUGGACUUUGUAGUAUUAAACUGUGUAUGGAAGUGGAUUUUGUGUGAUUACAAUCAUUGGAUCAGUUGCACUCCUUUGGCCUGAUGAUGGAAAACUCAUUUCUGGGAGCGGUACUAUGGAUUAUUAUAAGUAUGAGCCUUUUCUAUCAUUCUUUCCAUGCUAGUCCUCAUCAUCAUCAUCAUCAUCAUCAUCAUCACCACCACUCUCUUUCUCUCUCUCUCUCUCUCUCUCUCUCUCUCUCUCUCUCUGUGGCAUGCAUGGCCGAAGAUGUGAAGAGGCUCAUACUGAUAAUCCAGCAGCUAACCGUCGAUGACCAGAUAUAGCUAUGAGAUCUGAAGGCUUA